Molecule: long non-coding RNA, 65359 nt
Filed under: Fragaria vesca (wild strawberry)
Lineage: Eukaryota; Viridiplantae; Streptophyta; Magnoliopsida; Rosales; Rosaceae
Description: long non-coding RNA (FVES_LNC000162)
Rfam family: tRNA (bases 2773-2846)
Source: RNAcentral
GAAAAGUAAUCACUAAAAUCUAUUAGUUAGUAAGUAUUUAUAGGGAGAGGGAGAGAGAGAGAGAGAGAAGGGCGCCAUAAAAUGUGCAAUAUGACAUGUAACUCUUGUAUAUGAGCAAAAACUCAGCACUGUAUGCAGUAUAUGAUCAUAACCAUUUACAAGAAAUCAAAGGUCAACAAUCCACCACUAUACUAAGCAUACCUCAUGCAAUAAGAUAUUUUACUCUUAUCUACCUGGUAGAGUUCUAAACAUAUGAGACUUUUGUUCAAAGGUAAACUAAGACCCUAUCUCGAUUGUCUCUAGAACUUCAGGUCAAUCAUUAAUUGCUAACUGCAUCAAACCAAUAACAUGUGAUAAAAGAAUUUUCAAUUUCAUAGUCCAAGAAAAGGCUAUUAUAGAUGAGUCAAUGAAACAAAUAAGUUAAUUUUAGGUGGAUAAGGUUCAGAGAAAUAUAUAUAUAUAUAUAUAUAUACAGUCCGUCUCUGCUACGGACGUCCGGACCGUUUUACGGUGCGGACAUCCACACCUGAGAAAAGUCCUAUAUACAUAUAUAUAUAUAUAUAUAUCUCAGUGAUCAAACUGAUCAUCUAAUGUCAAACAACAGCUAGUUCACAGCGUUAUGGUUUUUUACGUCCUAAAUUUGUCUAAAACACAAUUUUAUUGUCUAUGCAUAUAAAAUAAUAAUUAAACAAAGCCAAUUGAUCCCAAGUCCCUCAAAAAGAACACACAUCAAAGAAAAAGGAUAUUUGGAAGGAAAAUAUGAAGGCAUGAUUAGGUACUAUAGAAGCAUUCAGAUAUAGAUCCAUUAUGAACAUCUGCUGCUGUUUAACAGAGGCACAACUUGGAACAAUAUUAAUUGCCAACUACUUGAAGUUUGAGAAGUGUUCAUGUUAAAGCUAAAACUAAGGGCAGAAAUUAGAAUGCUGAUGUGCUGUAUGAACCAAGUUCAGUGCAUGCAGUAGACAUACAGACGAGGACUACCUGACUAAGAAGUUUAGGCUUGUCGACUGUUGAAAAAGUGAUCUCAUGCAUAGGCCUGGACCAAUUACCAAAAAAAUAAGUAAAAAUAUUAACAUUUUUAUGGUAGUAAAUGACCAAUACUGUUUUUGCUCAUGGUAAACAGUAAAAAACCUCAAACUCAUUGCCCUACAAAACUUAUUACCAAAGAUUGGCCUAAAUUCGAAUCUUACCUAGUAACAUAGGGUGUUGCGCUCAUUGCACUGUCUCCAUCAUCAACAUGGGAUCUAUUGGCUAGAAGUGAAAGUGCCUCAAGAUUAGGAGAUGAACCAAAGGUAGGCGGUGCAUGAAUCCUGCUGACACCACAGUUCAAUGACUAUCACAUAAAAAAUAAAAAAAUAAAAAGAAAACUGACAGAGAAGGCAUUUAAUUACAAAAGAAGUAUAGCCUGGUAUCUGAUAUGGUUAGCCAUACCCUUGUCUAUUAUGAUUAUAAGAACUCUGUGCAUCUUCUUUCAUUGAAGAAUCUGAAUGAACCGAAUCGCCAGCAUUCCCAUUGUACAUGGGAUAAACCUGCAUCGAAGAAAAUCCACUCAGUAAUAAGAACUUCUCCGCCCCUGCUUCAGAUAAUAGCGUUAAUACUUAAACUUCAAGACUUCAAAUGCAAUACAUGUAAAAUGGGUGUAACAAGAAAAGAACACUGACUGGAGUCAAAUCAAAAAUACAUGCAACAUGCAUACUGGUACACACGCACACAAAUCGUGUUCAUUAAGCUCAACAAGAGUAAAUCAUAGUAACCAAUAACCGCAUGUGUGGUCACCUGCACCGUGCGAACUUCAAAGGCAGGUUGGUUAGCAGGGUCUUCGGCUAAUUGCAGCAAUCUCUUAUGUGUAAGCACAUCCUCUGCCCUCUCCACAUUCACAUCCAAUGCGUAUCUACAUAGCACAACACCAACCAUCACCACAACAAACAAACAAACAAACACACACAAUUCUUCAAAGCUUCGGCCUUCAAUUUCCACAACUAUGAGUUAAAAUGUAUAGAUACCAUUACUCAUAGGCUCAUAGCUUAUAGUUAGAACAAAUAUCAAAACGAUGACCGAAUCCGAUUUCUUUUUCCCUAAACACAUUCACUACCAGACAAUUAGCAACCUUUAAACAAUCAUUAGUAACAUUAAAUCGCUACAGUCUUCUCCACAACAAAACAAACAAUGCGAAAACGCAAAAAGCCAAAAGCUAAUGAAUGAACCAUACGAAUCAAAACAGAGAAAAGGCUAGGGUUUAAUACCGAGCAGGUAAGCGGUUGAAAUGGAGCCAAAGCUGAUCAUCAAAUCCAGGAAGACUGGCCUCCUCGUAAUUGAAGUCCUGAAUUCUACGCAGCACCUCGUUGUAGACCUUGAGCUUCUGGCGCUGGUGGCGCGGCUGCGCCUGCGCCUGCGACGAGAACGCAGCGUCUCUGCUGCCGCAGCUCUCCAAGUCCUCGUCGAUCGCCAUUUUGGAGCUUAAAAAAAGUGAAUCUGGCUCUGGAUUUGAAGGAGAAUAUGCGGCGCGGAAUAACGAGAUUGGAGAAAUUUGAGAAGAAGAAGAAGAAGUGAAAAUUGAGGAGGAGGAGAAAGAGAGAUUCUUUCUUGCUUUCUUUCUUUUUGUGCUGUGCCUGUGAUGAUGACGACCUUUGUUUCGUUGCUUUAGGCCACGGGUCCACUGCAUGCUGACUCAUCUGGAUUAUCGCACUCAACAGUGUGGCCGGUGGGGAAUAUUUAAUUUGUUUUCGUUAAGCGUGGUUAAUUUGGCUUGAAACGUAAUUAUUGGCAAGAAAUGGCCUAUUAGCUCAGCUGGUUAGAGCGUCGUGCUAAUAACGCGAAGGUCGCAGGUUCGAGACCUGCAUGGGCCACAUUAUUAGUUUAUUUUUCUAAAUUGUCUCUUUGAGAUUUGAUAUUAGUUUGUUUUUCUAAAUUGUCUUUGAGAUUUGAUUUCUAAAUUGUCUUUGAGUUUUGAUUAGGUUUUGGUUUUUUGAAGUUUGUCAACCACCCUUAAGGGAUCUCUUCCUUUUCAGUAGAGAUAUUAUAUAUGAUGCAAUCCAAGUAGGCUAUGUAUGGAAUAAAAGCAGCAAAUUGACGACGUUUCUAUUUCUUAUAUAUUGUUAAGGGCUAGAAGGAAAAUGGUAGUUUGCUUAUGGGAUCGACGACCUUAAUUGAAUAUUGUUUGUGUUGGAUAGACUUUGAAAAUUUCAAGCAUGUAAACCAAAAAAAAUAUUGACAUUUCUAGCGUGCGUUUUCUUUUUAAUCAUAUAAUUAUAUGUUAGAGCAUUGGUUGAGAUAAUGUGAAAAGGCAAAGUGAAUCGUGCUAAAUGUGGCACGCUAGAGCUAUUCAAAGACAAUUAAGCACUUUUAAAAGUAUUUACAACACCUACAAAUUAAGAUCAAAAUAGCAACCACACUGCAGCAUGCAUCACCUUCUCGUAUUAGGUUGUUGCUUCAUUAGAGAUAAUGGCAAUAUAUUAUGAUCACUAAUAGUUUAAACUUUUGAGUCAUCUCUCAUAUUACAGACAUUUUCAUCAAAUCUUUUGGUGGGUCAUUCCAUUGUAUUAUUGAUAUUUUAAGCACUAUUAUAAGAUGCAAUCAAUUAUAUAUGUUCCUAAUUAAGUACAUUGUAUUAUUAUUUAUUUAUUUUUGGAUUGUAUUAAUUGAUUGAAAGUUGAACCAUGCACCAGAUAUAUAUGAAGGAAGAAAAGCUGUUAUUGCCAUCUAUAUAUAUGGUGGGAUGUCCCCUCUAAUGUCCUCCCAUAGAUUCUCUGUUAUAGAUCUUGAAUAUAGUUUCGUCUGUAUUUAUCCAAAACAAAAUUUUAAACAUUAUCAACAUCACCAUCGCUAAUGAUCAUUAUCAAAUGACCAAGAAUUUUGAGUCUCUAUUUGUAAAACCUUAUUUUUAGUUUUGGAUAAAUGGGAUUCGACGACCUUAUCCAACAUUUCGAGAAAAUAGACACCCAUUUAGUCACUAAAACGGUUAUUUAGUAAAACGUUUAUCUACAGAUUGUAGUAAACAAAUUUCACUCUACCAACUUUGUGCUUUUGUUCUUUUAUUUGGCUUGUCUAAAACUCCCACCAACUCAUUAUAUGAUUGAUGCAAUGCAAGAGGUUUCACACACAUAGACAACUCACAAUUUGUCCAGCUAUAUUAUAUGAUAUCUGAGGUUUCCUUGUUAUAAAAGAAAUUAAACUCCGAGCAAAAUUCCUUUCCCAUUUCGAAAUGUUACAAAACGAGAUUGAGUACAUUUGAACCACUUGAAGAGCACAAAACGUGGACGACAAAACCGCAUGAAUGCUCUCGAUCCCAUCACAGCCGUCGAUCAUUACACCAAACCCUCCUUAGCAUCUAAGAAAAAGAAAUCAAACCUGAUCCAGUUUGGCCAUUCAUGGAAGCAAAUUAACAACACAGCAGAGAGAAGAAGAAGACGACGAAGACAGAUAUCGAGUCAGAAAGAAAAGGACACGUGGUUGACAUGAACAGGAAGAGCACCAGGGAUUUGCUUCUGGGUUUAUAUAAGGGGAAUCUGUGCUGGGACUUCUGUGUUUAGGAUUUUAGGGCUGGUAGGUUUCGUUUCGAUUCAUUUUGGUUUUUAUCUGUGUAAUAUAUAUCUUUUCCUCUUUCUGGGUUUUCAUUUCUGGUUUCAGAUUUGAUUUUAGGGUUUGUAAAUGGGUCAAUGCACGUCGAAGCAGCGUGGAGGAGGAGGAGGAGGGCUAGAUGGUAAUUGUGGUGGGUGUGUUGAGACGACUAGGCGUGGAUGCAUGAGCAUUGUGAGGGAGAAGAGAUCCAGGUUCUAUAUUGUUAGGAAAUGUAUAGUUAUGCUUCUCUGUUGGCACAAGUAUGGCAAAUAUUAAUGAAAUUCUUCAUUCAUUUUCUGGUCGAUUCGAUCAUCAUCUUCUUCUUCUUUUCUCUCUUGAUUGGUUCUUACUGUUCUCAUGGAUGAUUGGUUUUUGGUUUCAAGGAUGAUCGAUCACACGGUAAUUCAGGUUGAUGUAAAGUUUAGAUGCGUUAGGUACCCUGACUAACUAUGCAGAAUUGGAUAUGAAUUUCUCAAGUUUUUGUUGUUAGGGAUCCAGUGGAUGCCAGAAGUGCAUGUUUGACCGCAGAUAGUUCACCCAAACACAAACGCAGUUUUUCAAGCAUUAAUUUUUGCUUUUAUUUUUAGAUGUAUUAUGCAUUCCAGGGUUUACAAGUUCAUCAUUUUUUACUGUCUAACAUAUGAUGAUCGAGGAUACUUCAAAAACAGGAGAAAUUUCGCAAUCAUGAAUAAUUUUGAGUGAUUAGAGUCUUAGAGCUGAUGUGAUUAACAUGCUCUCCCAACAUUAGGAGGAUUCUAAUGACAUGAUCUAAGGCACUUUUCUACUGAAUCUAGUGUGUUUAAUCUUGUCAUUCUUAUCCUAAGCAAGUAAAUCUGUGAACAGCGUGACCUUUAUUUUUUGAAACUUUUGUAGUUCUAAAAGCAAUGUGUCAUUAUAAUUACUAAAUUACAGCAAUUUAGAUAAUAUUAUGAGAAGAUAUAUAUGUUCCCGAUAGCAAUAUGUGGCACUGUAUAGCUUCUUAGAGCAUCUUCAACAGUUUCUCUAUAAUUUCUUUAUUAUGAGGAAGCAAAAAUCAGAGCUUCAAGCAAUUUUUUCUUUAACUCCAACAAAUUCCCUAUUUUAUAUAAUCUCCGUCAAGCCAAAUAUUGGAUCAAAGAAGUGGCAUGGUCUCUUUAAAUUUAUCAAAGAUGCAGCACACUCUUUUAUUGUCAUUCAGACAAAUUUUUCUCUCUUAUAUUGUUCUAGAAAUAGAAUAAGAGUUCUAUCUACGGUGUUGAAUCUCGAGUGCAUCCAAUAGGGGUUACUAUCUCUAUGUCUGUCCAAGAAGAAUAUACAAUAUUGGCAUUGCUUUGCCCGACUCCAGCUAAUCAGACACUCACAAAACUAAUCGAAAGCAAGAGGGAUCGAUAUGAGUAUUCAUGUACGUAUAUGGUUAAAAUACUUACCCAAUGAAUGAUAGAGUAUUGUGUUCGUGUGUGUUCUUCAAUUUUGUUUCGUUUUUUUAAACAAUGUUUGCCAAUUCUCACUUGUAUAUAUGUCGCUGUAAGCAUUCCACACAUAUAUUCCUCUUGUUGGAUUCAUUUGAUAGAGCUAAUGAAUUUGGGAAUUCACACACACACACACAGUAUCAAAUUUGGAGGUUUUUGAAGAAAGGAUGCACAAAACGCGCGAUGUUACAUUGUUUUGAAGUCGAACGAUGUUCCUUUGUUUUUAUUCAUCAAGAGUGAACAUUGUUGUUCGUUUUGACAAUAUGAGAUGAAAGGACUCAAACUUGAGUUUCAUAUUUUAGGUCGCCUUCGAGUAUGAUUCCCUCGCUCAUUUCCUUGUUAGAGACAAUAUGUACUGUACGUCUGAUCAUUAUUUAGUUUCCAGUAGUACCUUCGUUUCAUUUUGAUGUAUAUCCAACAUAUAUAAUAUAACUUGUAUAUAUAGUUUUGAAGGGAUACCUAAACGAUGCAUGAAUCCAAUUUUUUAAAAAAAUGAUAUGAGCAUGCAGAGAUUGAGGUUCACCUUGCUUUGUGUAUGAAAGUGUAUCAACUCUUUAUUUGAUGAACAAAUCACUGUUACAGUGGUUAUGAUAUAUGAACACAUCUUCAUCAGACUACAUCUCAUUUUUAUUUGGCCUACGAGUGAAUGAAAGGACAGAAACCGAACAAAACCAACCAACUAAUCCAUGGAAUCGAUAAUUUGCAUCCAAGUUAACCUUUAGAAUCUGUCCAAAAUGGUACAUGUUCACUGCUUUAAAAAAUUUCAAAAUGAAUCUCAACAAUUAGCCAGCAAAGAAUGUUGAUAUAGUACAACAAAGCUUGGAGGUGAAAUCAAAGUGCAACUCCAAAGAUCAUGACAUUAUAAAUUGCUGUUCCUGAUAAGCUAUUCCAAAACUUUCCCCAAGUUAUCUCCUUUCUUUUCAAUCUCAAUGAAUUACACCAAUAACCUACUAUCUUCUCUCCCAACAAAUUUUAAUCAAGACGAUGCGACACCAUUAUGGUUCAACAAGGCAGACAAUGCAUGGCAACUCACAGCAACCACCAUGGUAGGCAUGCAAAGUGUUCCGGGGCUCGUCAUACUCUAUGGAUCCAUGGUCAAGAAGAAAUGGGCCGUGAACUCCGCAUUCAUGGCCCUAUACGCCUUUGCGGCGGUGCUCUUGUGUUGGGUACUUUGGGCUCAUAACAUGUCAUUUGGUACCAAGCUCACCCCAUUUGUGGGAAGGCCUGGUUUUGCUAUGACACCUAGUAUCCUGAACCAAUAUGAAGGCUAUUUUGUUCCAAAGGCUGACUAUGUGUACUUCCAAUUUGUAUUUGCUGCCAUUACUGUGAUAUUGCUUGCUGGGUCUUUGCUUGGGAGGAUGAACUUCUAUGCUUGGAUGUUGUUUGUACCAAUGUGGCUCACAUUUUCUUACUCAGUUGGGGCUUUUAGUAUUUGGGCAAGUCAAGGGUUUCUUGAGAAACACAUUAUUGAUUAUGCUGGUGGAUUUGUGAUUCAUCUUUCUUCUGGUGUGGCUGGUUUUAUUGCUGCUUAUUGGGUAAUUCACAUGAAUUGAUGAACACCAAACACCAUUUUGUGCUUAAUGUUUCUUUCUUUGGAAAUAUUCUCUUGUCAAGCAAUCUAGCAGUAUAAGAUGCUUAUAUUCACCUGUCAAGUUUCAUUUUUCUGAGUAACUUGGUGAUGGUUAUGUAGGUAGGACCAAGGCAAGCGCAUGACAGGCAACACUUUCCACCAAACAACAUAAUUCACAUGUUGGGAGGUGCAGGGUUUCUAUGGCUUGGUUGGACUGGCUUCAAUGGUGGCUCUCCAUUUGCUGCAAAUGAGAUUGCAUCUUUGGCCAUCCUCAACACCCAUGUCUGCACUGCUACCAGCCUUUUGAUUUGGGUCUCCCUUGACAUGAUUGUGUACAAGAAAAGCUCUGUGAUUGGCGCGGUGCAGGGAAUGAUCACUGGCCUUGUCUGCAUCACCCCUGGUGCAGGUAUAUAUAAUCCUCGAUAUGUUUAUGUUGUUAGACUGUAAAUUCGAACACAUAAUAAUUAAGCCUUAUGUUUGGAAAUGUGAGGCGAUACUGAUAAUAUAUUAAAGAGCAUGUUCACUCUAUGAGAUAACAAAAUAUAAAUCUUCUAAAUUGGUGUUUUGAUGAUUUAAGAAAGUAAAACAAGCAAUUUUGCAGCAUCCCACCAAAUAAUAUAUACAUGAUCAACCAGGGAUUGUGGAGCCAUGGGCAGCCGUAUUAAUGGGAGCAUCGUCUGGUUCAAUACCUUGGUACACCAUGAUGGUAUUGCAUAAAAAAUCACCGUUCUUCCAAAGUGUAGAUGACACACUGGGAGUCUUCCACACUCACGCCGUGGCCGGUGUCUUGGGGGGACUGCUCUCAGGCAUCUUUGCAAAACCAAAUCUUCUGAGAAUGAUGUACAGAAGUAGCCUUUAUGGUCCCGGCUUAUUGUACUGCAUACUUGAUGGGAAUCUACAUAAUGGCCUCAGACAAAUGUGGUACCAGAUCCUUGGAGCUCUUUUUAUCAUUGUAUGGAAUGUUGGUGCGACCAGCGUGAUCUGUUACUCAAUCAGCAAAAUCGUUGAUCUGAGGAUGAAGGAAGAAGAUCUUGACAUUGGUGAUGAUGCAGUGCACGGAGAAGAAGCCUACGCUCUUUGGGGUGAUGGUGAGAAGACGCCAGCGACGAUCAGGAGGCAUUUAAGGAUUCCUUCCAUCUGUAGAUGGCAGAAAUGAAGUUGGAAAUGGAGAAUUAUUAAGUCGAAACGAAUGAAAGAAAGCAUGCAACAACUCUCGUUGCUAGCUUGCUUGCUAUUAGUAAAUGACUAAAUGUUCUUCAUAUUGGUGAAGAAUAUAGCUCCUGGGAUCAUUUUGUACACAAUGAUGAAGUCCUUGGAUCAUAGAAUACAUGAUAUGUAAUUUUACGUCAUUCAAGAUACUGUAGUGGUUAGCAAUUGAGUUUUCCCAAACAUCUUACACUGACCUUGAGAUCAUAGGCCACAGCUGUAGUUGUCAAGGAUUCAUACAAGCACAGCUUUAGAAGGGUAAAGAAUGCAAAUAUCAGUACUAGCAGCCUUGCGUAAGUGUAAGAAAUAUCAAAGAAAUAGCAAUACAAUUAGGCAACACAAAUCAUUCUUUCUUCUCAUUCAACAUUUUGCUAAGAUUUACAAACUGUGAUCAUUCACUCUUUCUUCGUAAUAUGUGAUCAUACAUGUAGAUACUUGGGGGGCUAUAUACUAUGAAACUGUACAUCAAUAUCUUAGAAGUUCCUGCAUUUUCCAAAGAUUAACAAAGGUGGUCCACAUACACUAAACUGAAAUGCUACGCCAAAAGUCUAGAAGGCGAGAAGGUGCAAUAAGAACUCUCCCCUAGCAGUACAUCCUCGUGUGAAUGCAUGAAAGCAGCAACUUAUUAGAAGCAGAUUAACUUUGAUGCCCUUGACUUAACUUGCGAAGUUUGACUAGUUCAUCUCUCCACAUGGCUGCAGGAACCAGCAUUUAACUUGUAAAUUUAAAUAUAAAAGAAUGUUGUAAUCUGAAGCAAAUUUAUGAGGGAACGAGUGACCUGACUUGUAGUUGCAUCUACAAAAUUAGACAAUUACGAAAAGUAAUGCCUCAACCUAAUAAAGUACCUGCAUCCUUAUAUCUUUCCUCUUUGAUAGCCAAGUCGAUAUUCUUCACCAAAACAAGUUCUUGAGCUAAUAAAUUGGGACCAUCUGCAGCACUGCAAAGAAUAACUAAUGAUUAGCACAAGGGAGAAACUGAUGAACCAAAACUGAGGCACCCCAAAUACCAAUUCAGUACCUAUCAAGAGAGACAUCGUAAGUAGGCUUCAUCUCACGCAUUCUGCCCAUCCCAUAACUGAUUCUUACAGCAUCUCUUACAACAAUCUGUUUAUUUACAUAUAUGGGUGCCUGCAGAUAGUAAAUGUCACUCAAAAUCAAGAGCAGUUCAAAUAAACAUUCUUUCAUAUACCAUAACGUUAAAUCUAGUGAGUUUUAAGAAAGCAGGGAAGUCAGUUUCUUGCUUACACAUAAGAAAGCAAGAACAUGCAUGGACAUAAGUUUAUGAGCAACUCGUGUUGAGAAGGUGAGAAAGACACACGUACCUUGCACCUGUAUGCAACAUUUAUGGCAUCUGAUGGACGGGCAUCCACACUAAGAAUGUCACUUUUGCCUGGCUGCAAAUAAUUGGAACCUCAUAGUCAUAAAUUUGCUUCAGUUUCUUAAAAAGAAAAAAAAACAAGACAUAACUCAUGGAUUUAAUCACCUUACUAAAAUACAAUCUGGCAAAGUAAGUAUGCAGCACUCUUUCUGUAAUUCUCACCAUAUUCACCUGCAAUUGAAGAAAGGGAAAAAAGAAUAAGAGAAGAAUCUAACACUCCACUUAGACAUAGGAUUUGCAUUUGACAACAAGCCUUGCUUUGUUAAAGAAAAAACUACAAAGUAUAAACAUUAAGGGUGACUAGACAUUUGAUCUUUUGAAAUUCAUUAUUUUUUUUCUUCUUCUAAUUCAAAACUUCAUAUAUAUACAUAGCAAAAGUGUCAAGAAAUAUUUAAUCUCAAGUCGUUAACCAAGUUUUUAUAUUGGAAUUACUCCAUCCAAAAUCCAAGUAGGCCUGCUUUGCUUACACCCCACUCUCAUAUUGAGAAGUUAAUUCAGUACAAUUAAGAAGCAAUGCUACCCAUUUGGGACUGAAACUUGUUGACUGCCUUCCUAAGAAAAAUAAUACCAUAAACUUCUCUUAAUAUUGUUAUUAGUACUCAAUUACUCAUAUUGUCAUCCACCAAGUAUAAACAAAUAGCUUAACCAUAAAAUUUCUAAUACCAAUAACUAUCAAAAUGUACUAAAUGAAAAGAAAAUUUAGCUACAUUACUUGAUGGUCAAGUUCUUCAACAAGACUUUUCACAAACUGAAACUGGUCCGGGGAAUCCUGCAGCAAGACAAAUAAUCAGAUCAACACACAUUCCACUAAAAGUUAGGCAAAUGUAGCUACAAAGCUUAGACAGUUACCCCAUUCUCAUCUCCCCAGUGGCCAUUAAUGAGAUUCUCUAUCGCAAGUUCGCCUGAAAAAUUCAUAUAAAUACAAUCAACAACUAAGACGAUGUGACAGUUCAUAUAUUGUACUUUUAUGUUUAUCCCCAAAUUCCAUUAUACCUACAACAAUUGGAAGCAAAAAGUCUCCGUCACACGAUAUCUUGAGGAAAAUAGUAGGACUUUGGAAUCGCUGGAGGAAGUUCCUGCCUAGUUUAUCCAAAACACUCCGGGGCCGGGUUGCUUGCACCGAAAACGGCCGCAGUUUUCUGGAGGUAUUCCAAUUCGUCUCUUCUUGAAACCCUCGUUUUUGCAUUCGGUAGUGAGAUAUAGUUUCUGCACUAAUCAAACACAACUAAACAACUUCAGAAAUCAAAUCCUAAUUCACUCCAUCACCAAAUUAAACUCACUUUUACACUAACAAAUCUUCGAAAAGUUGAAUCAAAAUAACUAAAAUAUAGUGAAUACAUUUCCGAAUUUGAGCUUUUGUUAAAUGUGAGAAACUGUGGACCUGAAAGCAGGAGGGAAGCUUGAAUGUACUCGUAAUCUUGCUGAUUAGUGGAUCGGUCGCGAGAGGAGGAGUCGCAGGUAAUGCGGAUCGAUUUGAGUCCACGGUGGCGGCGUUUGGCUCGGAAACCUAACCGGAAGACGACGGAAUCUAAGGUGUGAGAGGAAGAGGAAGAAGAAGAGGAAAGCGCUGGGCGAGUAUUUGGGAUCGGGAAAGCGGCAUUCGAGCGAUCGGCGACGGAGAAUUGAGCAGCUCCGAGCAUCAUCAAAACAGGUGAGAGAGAGAGAGAGAGAGAGAGAGAGAGAGAUGGAGGAAAUGGAAGAGAGUUAGUUGGGGUUUGUUCAAUCAGAUGGCGCUUUCCAUUUUAUGGGGCUUCGAGUUUAUCAAUUUGAUAAAGAUAUAUGCCAUGCUUUGCUUGCUUCUUUUGUCCGUCCCCCUGUUAUUAGAAAUAAUUAAGAUUGUUAAUUAACUUAUUAUGAUAAUAUUAUGACGUUUUAAGAGUUAAACACUCUUUGUUCUAAUCCACUUCGAAAGCUCCCCCCUCUCUUUUGAAACUUGAAACCAUGUUGAUUGUGUUUUUCAUGUUGAUAUAUUAGUAAUUUAGUAAACAUUCUCUUUGAUCUGGUUGCUUUAAUAUGAUGAUUGUUUAACUUAUCUUGUAAUAGUAGUAUAAUUGAGUCGUUUACUCGGGUAGGUGCAUCCAAGUAAAAAAACAAGAGUGAAAUUUGCACACAUUUAAUUACAGUCCACACACCUGAUCGAUUUUACCUGUGUAAUCGUCAAAAUGUUCAUAUCUUAAACAACUUAGAAAAAACAUGGACAUUUUUUAUAUUUCUACGGACACGUGGAUUGUACGGCCGUGUGGAUUGUAAUCGAAGGUGUGCAAAAGAUAACUAAAAUAGAAACUUGCUAGCAUUUCUCAUCGAGCUAUAUGGUUCAAACUUGCAGUCUUUUGAACUUGUGCUUGAUGAAGUAAUGAGUUGAGAUUUUGUGAUAAUGGAAAUGGUGACUUGGUCAUGAGAUUUUCCCACUUUGAAAAAGACGACUAAUUGCAUUUCUUAAGUCAAUGAUUUCAUAAUUACAAAGAAUUACAAGUACCAAAGUCCUUGACUUUGAGAUUGGGGAUCCUAUUUGUGGUUGGCACUUGGCAGUUGUAUCUGCAUCCGCUGAGAUUUUCAACUAAGAGCUAUCGAAGAUCAAACCAUGGCUUGCGCCCCUCAAACCAAUUUGGGUGGCUGAAGCACUGUAGAGGUGAGUUAUUCAUUAGCGAGUUUUGGGAAGAAGCUUCAACACCUUUAUUAGCUCGUAAGUCCUUGUGUCUCGGCCAGAAUAGAGGCAAAGCUCAAGCGGGGUUAAUCCGUCCUGCAACAAUUAGUUAAGUAGCAAUCAAUCAUCAUAGCAUUAGCAAUGUCACAGAACAUCAAAGCAAUGAGAAGCUCAAUACAGCUUUAGACUCAUACAGCAACAAUGCUGCUUCAUACUUUUCAACCAUUCAAGCUGUGCAGAGUGCAGAACAAGCUAACGGAAGCAGUAAAUAGUUACCUUGUUUUUCAAUGUCUUAUCCGCGCCUUUAAUCAACAAAAGCCUCACUACAUCUACUCUUCGGCCUUGAACAGCUAGAUGUAACGGUGUCCACCCAUCCUAUGAAGUCCAAACAAAAGCCUAUGACUCCUUGAAAUUGCAUAGAAAAUUUGUAAUCAGGAAUGGGAAAGCAAUAAUCCAUACAUUGUCCUGAAGGUUUAUGUCAACAUUGUAUAACAAAAGAAUCUUAAUUGCUUGACUUGAAGCUGUUCGGACAGCAUAGUGCAUCAAGGUGGCCCCAUCCUGCAUCCAACAUAAAACUUGUAUUAGAACAAGGGCUUGUACAAUACCCGUUCAAUAGAUAAGCCAGCAUAAACUUUACUCACCUUAUCACGAACAAAUGGAUUAGCCGAUUCUCUAAGAAGAUAGUUUGUAAUGGCCUGGUUUUUACCGAUAAUUGCUUUGUGAAGAACAGUCCAAUCAUUCUGAAAAAUAAUAAAUCCGGCUCAAUCAUGAAUGAAAAGGCAAGAAAAUCUUCAGCAGUUAACAAUCCAAUGGAACAUGUCGUCAUCUAUGUACCUUAUCCACAGCAUUGAUAUCAGCUUCAUGUCUCAAUAAAGCGUCCAUAAGGUAAAAUUCUCCUGAUGCUGCAAGAGUAUGAAGGGGCAGCCAUUUACUCUGGAAAGAGAUCAUCAAAUUAGAAAUACAAACAUAUGCAGUCUCCCUGCAGAUUAAGAUAGCUGUACAAUAACUGAAGCUUUCUACUCAAAAACUCUAUCCAGGAAGACAGUAAGCAUCAUCUACCAAUCAAUUCAUAGACUCAUCAUCACGCAUGGAACAAUUUCUCCAAAGACGAAAAAUGGAAACAAUCCAUGCAUAAUCCCAUCAUUCACCUAUUAAUGAUCAUAACAGACAUAACACUUACAGAAGUGGCAGCAGCCAUAUCGGGUUUCCGCCUAUUCAUCAUCAGCUUCUCCUCUUUCGUAAACAAUGGCCGCGGUCCUAUUCAUCCAAUCCAACAAACAACAUAUCAGCAAUAUCACACACCACAUCCACCAAACAAAACCAAAAAACACCAAUCCAACCUCAACCUAUAAACCAUUAUCCACAUCCAAUAUUCACACAAAAAUUAUACUACAUUAUCACACAAUGCUAAACCCACAUUCACAAUGUACCUUCAGCUCUCUUGACACCAGGCUCAUAAUGCUCGCUGUUAAAAAACUCAGUAACAUCCUCCAACCCCUUCCCAUAAACCGCCCACCUCGGAUUCUUCGGCGCAACUCUCACACUCACAACCUCCUCACUCCCUCCCUCCUCCACCUCCUUAAACCUCUCCGGCCUCUCCAAAACCAGCGGCUUCAGCUGGUUCAACUUGGCCUCCCUAUACGCCUUGUACUCCUCCAAAUUCAAAUCCCUUAUCGGCUCCAACCCCCUCUUGUUCUUCGCCACUCUCGUUCCGAACUGCAUCUCCUGCGCAAUCUUCCUCCUCUCCUUCUUCGUUAUGUUCACCUCCGCCUGCACCUCCUUCCAUCCCUCCGGCACCAAAUUCUCCGUCUCAAUCUCGACCCGCUUUCUGGGUUUGGGCUUUUCCGGGUCGAACCGUUCGGGUUCGGGUUCUUGGAGAAACGGGUCGUCGAAUAUGCCUUCUUCGAAGACGACGCAAUCGCCGAUGACGUGGUCUUCUUCUUCAAGCUUGGUGGAGUAGGAAGAGUUGAAGGAGGGGGAGAGGGUGUGGAGUUUGGUUGAGAAUUUGAGAGAGGUGGGUGGUGAGAGCUUGUGGGGUUUGGAGGAGAGAGAAGGGUUUGGGAGGAGAGAGAAGAGUUGGGGGUUUAGAGCUGAAGAGACUGACAUGGUUCUUCUGCAACUGGCUCACAGCUGAAGCUGGAAAUGAAGAAGAAAGAGGUUUUUGUAUUUGGAUUGGGUCAUAUUGGUAGUUGGGCCAGGCCCGAUAUGCGUAUUUGGGCCUAUUAAAUCUGUCCAUUUCAAGAACACAUGAGUCUCACAUGGUAGAACACAGGCUUCAAUUUGUAACAAGGGAGACAAAAAUUUCAAUCCAAAGACUGAUAAUACUAUUAUACCAAGCUCAAUGCUUGAAAGUCAAGGACCAGAAAUCCUACCGAGUUUUAAUAGAAUGUAUGAGAAGAAAAUCCGACUCCAUAUCAUAGAUCAUUACAAGUCCGCAAAUAUGACUCCCAAGUUUUAACAUUACUCAAAUAGGAGAUACCUAAACCUAUGAGGUUAUAACCUUCAUCUACGGCUGUACUUCCUUUCUGGACUGCCAUAGGGUGAAUAAGACCUCUCCCUUCUUGAUCUUCCACCGCCAUAAGGAGAGCGCCUAGGGGAAUAAUCACGACUGCCUCUGUAGGGGGAGCGUCUAGGAGACCUCCUGUAUCCAUAGUCAUCUCGACCUGAGCCCCCCCGGUACCUCCCACGAUCACGGUCACGGUCACGGUCGCGGCCACGGUCUUCCACCAAUACAGAGAUAAAGUAUGAGAUACAGGCAAAUAAAUCAGAGAAAACUUGAUGUUGUCAUAGAAUUGAAAAGGCAUAUCAUACAUACCAGAGUCCCUAGUGUUCUUCAAUCCGAGAUAAUGCCCAGGUGUUGGAGUCCUUGGUCGCUUCCUCCGGGACUGAAAAUAAUCAAUCCUCAAGUCUUAAAACUCCAUUGCAACAAUGAACAAAAACAUAAAAAAGGAUUGCAAAGAAAAAUAAGAAAAUAUAGGAGAAAAAUAUUACACCAACAGAAAUAAGAUAGAAAAACAAAAACAAAAAAAAUUGAGUGAAAAUAUGUACUUAAAAACAAACACUGUUAUCUAGGCACAUAUAACUAGUGCCCAUAAUAUGAAUGCCAGUUAUAAAAUACCAUAGAGGCCUGACUAGAAAGUUGUUGGUAAUGUCCGUUGAUUAGUUGAGAUGAAAGUUGAAAGUGAAUGCUGAAGUUGUAUAGUUGUUGGAAUAUAGUUGCUAUGUUUAGUUGAUCAGGCGGAUUUCAAAAGCUGUUUAUGCUUGGCAUUGAUCAAGCUGUUUCACUAAAGUUGACAGGGAUAAACUCAUCAUCUUUGAUUGCUGCCAACAUAGCUGACGCAAUCUGAAUAUAACCAGAAAAUCUCCAAGUCAAGAAAAAAGAAAGCGGACAUAAAUGGUGGAGCACUGUACAAUUAUAUUAAAUUACCCUUUCCACAGUUAUGUAUCGGCCUUCCAGAACUGACUGGUUAAGAUGUUUAAUGCACCGCUCUGCAUCUUCAUUUGAAUCCAUUGUAACGAAGGCAAAACCACGGGAGAUGCGUGAACGAGGUUCAACAACAAGAAAACAUGAAGCUACCUGAAAAGGGGAACAGAACCAGAAGCAUAAAUGCAAAUUGAACUCUGAAAUGAAAAGCGCAGAGCAAAGCAUAUAUACCAUGAGAUGCAGAACCAGGAUAGAAAAACGUAGAAAACAAAGAUAAUAUAAAGCACCUUUCCCUCCUUUGAAAAGUGCCUUUCAACGUCCUUCUCUGAGGCCCUUUGAGAUAGACCAGUCACAUAGAGUGUAUUUCCAGGAUUCCCAACAGCAUCCCUGCCGCAUAAAAACACAAUUCAAUGAGAACACACACCUGUGAAUGAGCACAGUAAAAAACCAACAUUCACUGAAAAAACAAAACAGAAAAUAGUUUAAGUUUGACAACUGUCGGUUUUAUAGAACUACACCAACCUUCCAGGACUUCUGGAUCUUGACCUGCACCACAGAGUACCAACCAUUUUAUUAGAACACCAGUCAUGUAUCAAUGAAAAGAUAAUGAAGACUACAACUUACGUGAUGGAGUAAAUGAUGCAAAGCAUAAACCUUCUCUAAUGAGGAGACAAUGCAUAUGGCAUACAUAAAAAUAUAGAAAAGCUGAUGCACCUUAGAGUUAUUGAGUUGUAAUAUAGGUGUAGGAGAUGUCAAAGGUUUGUUAGGGCUUUUCAGGUUUACAUCAGGAAAAGGAGCUUGGUUCUGGGCUUUCAGUUUACUUUUAUGAUACCAGGCCAUUCUAUGUUGUUCGGUAGCGCCGGUAAAGAAGCCUGAAUAGAGCGCAUAACAGGCUAGGAUAGGAAAAGGUUUAUUCCUUGCACUUCUUCUCCUGUUGUUGGUGCUGGUUCCUACCAGAUUCAGCACAGGUAUCUUGACCAUUGAACCAAAAAGGAAUGCGCCAGGGAAACUCUUAGGUAAUGAGAAGUCAAGGGUGAUCCACUUAAAUUGCUCUCACAAGGAAAAUGAAAAACAAAGGAACCCCCACAGAUUCCUCCUUCGUAUCAAUGCAUCCAUGAUUUCGCCAUUCAAAACCCACAUGGAAACUGAAAAGCUGAUUAAGAAUAAACAAGAGCACCAACCUGCCACGACUUCUAGAACGAGACCUGUGCCUCGGCCUAGACCAGGAUCUUGAUCUUGACCUAGGCCUGGACAUAGACAUAGACCUGGACCUGGACCUGGAAUGAGACUGAGCUCUCCAUGAAGAAGGGGAACGUGAAUACCUGAACAUAUAACUUUGUUAGAAACAUAAAUGAGCAAUUUCUAACCACUAAAAAUCUGAUCUGAACCCCUUUUUGUAUAACGGAUAUAAAAAAUGCUCAAUAUACACCCAACACUGGUGUUUUAACUAGACUCAAUAUGAACCACAUUGUACAAUAUGAACACAGAUUACACCACCGAGACUCCCCAGAAGACAAAAAACAAUACCAGCCACGAUUACAAGACGAAGAAUAAAAUAAAAAACCUCUGAAUCAUAAUCACUCACUGUCAUUCCCCCAUAACUCAAACCUAACCCCAUCUCAAUCGUAAUUAAACCCUCAGAUUCCCUAUGUUAAUAGAUUCCUUGAGACUACGGCGCAUCAGAACAGUAACAUUUAUCAGCUCAAUCACAUUACUUCUUUUUUGCCUUUCAACUAUAUACAUGCAUGCAAUCAAAAUAUACCAAAUCUCUCCCAAAAACAAAACGACAUCGUAUAACCGAAAUCUUGAAACACAGAAACCACAAGGGCUCUAAUGCAUCAUUUUGAAAACAAUGACGGAAUUUUCCGAUAACUCCAACACCACAAGACGCAAAUCGCAAAACGACUCAACCAAUUGCACAUUAAUCUCAAAUUCGAACCAAGAAAACUGAAAAGGAGCUACAGAAAAAUUCUAGGGCGCUGUUUACCUUUUGCGAGGAGAAUCCGCCUACAUGUAAAAAGAAAACGAAAGAAACGCAUUAAACGAAUUGAAAUUUGAUGAAUGAUGCAAAAACAGGAGACGAAGAUUUGAGUAGGGAGAUUUACCAUUUUUGAAGCCUAAGCUCAAAAUCGACGAAUUAGGGUUUCAGAGGUCAAUGAGCUUUCCUUCAAGACCUUUUUGUGCAGACAAAGAAAGAACCCACUUUAUAUAUUUGCACAGGAGAGUGAUCCUCUGCGGUCAAGUGUUUAUGAGGUCAAUUAUGUCUUCAUCGAACUUUCUUACUGUUUUACUUGGCCUAUUAAAUAUUGCCACGUGGCUUAUGAGUAAACGGAUGUGAAAGAGGAAAUUAUUGGGGUCGUAUAUAACAGCCGUGUUCUUUUGAGCAUUUGGUAAAUAACAUUUUUACCAUUGUGUACCUGCAUUGUAUGUUUGACUGGUUACUUUUUUUUUUUAAGCCCAGAAAAGAACGAAAAAGGAGAGAAACUUUGCAAUGCAAUUGCGAUGAAUAACACACCAGAUAAGUAAACGAAGAAACCCCAUUCACAUUUCACAGUAUGCAAUAUCCCCCGUUGUCCAGGUGACAUGCCACGAACCAUUAACAAUUUCACAAAAUGUACACAUUUAACCCACAAUAAGAGGUCCUAAUAUGGCAAGAAAGGAAUAUCAUCUAGUUUGAUCUUUAGUAGAAACUUGAAAGGCUAACAACACCUAUUACUUCGACGAUAUUUGGACAAUCCUGUUAUGAACAAACAAAAUAGCAUACACGGAGGUCCUAUGUUGUCAAUUGAUCAGGAAGUGUAGCAGAAUGAGCUCCAAUAACUUUCCCGCCAACAUCAGGGAAAAUUUCAUAACCUGGCAGAGGUUUCACCUUACCAUCAGCAUCUACCAGCAACGGAUACCUAAGAAGGUGACCUUGCAAUUCUGUGAAAUCCGGUGAUGUGUAUCUCUUCCAGUUUUCUUCGGCAAUGCCAUUCACAGUUCUAACAGUUUCCAAACUUCCUGCCUCUUUAAAGCAUGGGUCAAACAUACCAAGAUGUUCAGCCCAGAGCGACAUUCGAUACCCAUAUAUCUGCAUGAACAGAGAAAAUUCACAGUUUAGUGUUGAACAGAUUUUGAACUCUGAGGUCAUUAUCUUUCAUAAACACCAUAUCCGGAUUCCGUUAAGUUACUUAGAAUGGGGGAGCAAAGGAGCAAUAAGGGGCUCCCACUCUAAAAAGAUCUACAACAAGACAAGUAGAAAUAUGUUCUGGAACAGCUAAAAGUAUUUACAGCACAUUUCUCAUGAAUGUUUUCUUUACCAUCAGCAUAUCAUUAAAUAAGUUUGCAACUGGCAAACGACACUAAGUACAUACCUGACCACAAGGAUGUCUCUUCUUCUCAGCCCAAGUGUGAUGGGGUUGAUACGAACCCAUAGCUAUCUCGGUGUCUUUUGUACCAGCCAUUGAUCUUUGGUUGAUAUUGGCAGACCCCACUAUAACAUACUCGUCAUCCACUAUCAUACCCUUGGCAUGAACAUAAAUCAUAAAGCGUUGAUACUUGUAUGCAUCAGAUAUCUGAAAGAACAAAUUAGUUUAAAGACCAAAAAUGGAGAUUUUCUGGCAGACAACAAGUAAACCAGAUAGAUGAAUUGAGAUUUAAAGCUCUGAAGACAACAAACAACUGUAGUUCAAAGCUAGUCAAAUAUCAGAAAAGAAGCAUCAUUAGCAUGAUAUGAAAAGAAAAGUCGACCCAAUUUAUUUCGAGCAAUGACCCAAAGUAGCAAGUAAAGUAUUUCAUGUUAGAAAUUAAAAGAAAGAAGAAAAGCAAAUGGAUCUAUUAAAGAUACUGGUUUUUGAGUUUCUAUUGUUAACCCCAACAGUUAGAAUAAUUUGCAUACCAGAUACAAACAAAAGUAAAGAACAUAUUUCCUCUUUCUUGCAGUCUAAAAGGUUUAUAAAAUGAAUAAUAGUAAACUUAUGCAGCACAGUCCAUUCUGAACUUGUUGAUAAAUUAAUCUCUGAUUAUAGGAGUUGAUGGUAACCAGAAAUAGAAUUGAGAAUUCCCUACUGAAGAAAAAUGGGACUUCAGGACACAUAGAUUUCAAGGUUACAGAGUACAUGUUAAAUAAAGAUAAUGGCAGCAUGGACUUGCAUAUACAAAGAGCUCAAAGAUGAAAGCAUCAUAGAUUAAGUAAAUGUAUUGACUGGAAGCCAAGAAUCUCUAAACUACAAGAACUAAGGGCCUAGAAUUAUUAGGAAAAAGAAAAAAAGACAAGCAGUAAAUGAUAAAAUCAGAGAAGUAUAGGAGACAUCCAUAUUAGAACAAUUACCGUAGAACCAUUGAUGUUUGAUGGUUCCUCAGACAGUUUUUCCCGAUUACCAAGGCAAUAGAAAUUAAGGUAAUCUUGAGGAUGUACGCCCUUAAGCUGCAAGGCUUUCAAUUCUCGUGCGACAACAUCAUACAUUGCUUGCAUUGUUUGGCUCUGUAAAAUGCAGACAUGCAUAAGUCAGACAGAAUCUUCCAUGUCAGUUCUGACAUAUCAAUAUACCAAAAACCAUAUAGAAAAUGAAUAAACUAUGCUUAUAUAAUCGUGGGAAAGAGAUGCCAAUACUAUUAUCAACAUCGAUGUUUAUAAAAACUAUUAGUAAGAGAAGCAUAGAUUAUCAAUCAUGUCAAAGGAAAAAACUCCAUCGCUGUUUAUAUGAGCAGAUAAGAGCACUAGAAGAACAUAAAAGCAAUCUCAGUUAUCAAUUGUCCUGAAAUAUAUGUUAUAUGAGUAGAUAUAUAAUAGACAGCCAAAUACCUGCCAGUAGAGAAUUUCUUGCAUUGCAGCAGUUUUCGGAUCACCUUCAGGCCACAUAGGUAAAACUACAUACACUGCAAAUCUCUCAUUUGCUCUAAUUUUGCUGGCAAUCUUCAGUGCCAACUCCAUUGGAAUAAGAUUGUCAGCUCCUGCUCGGACCAAGAAAGGAAUUAAGUGUUAAAUCAAAUUGAUAUAUCAGUUAAUGACAACUAUCUUACUUCCAUGAUAAAAAGCCAAAAAAUGUGUAAUUUCAGAAAAGAAAGUGCUUAGUAUUGGGUCAUUGAGGUUGAAGAAUACCAACAAUAAGCAAAAGUGCAAAUUUUUUAUUAUUCUUCGUCCAAUAUGGAUGGAUAAAUAAAUUCCGCUCAAUACAGAUAACAUAUAAAAUAUAUUCAACUGCACCUAUGUACAUGAAUAAUUCCUUAUAAUGUGCUGUUUUGCAAAUUAAACAUUUCGCUCCCAAAGUAUAAACAUUAUAUUUUUCUCAGUCAUACUUCAGUGCGCAGUAAAUUGUCACCAUACCUGCAUUUUUAUAAUCUGGCCAUGCAUAUGAUGAACCAAGAAAAUACUGAUUUUCAAUGUAUAUGAAAUGUUGGGCAGAUCUGAUUGCCUUGAUGUAUGCUGUCUGAAUGCUUUUAUCUAUUACUAGAUCCUUUGAGCAAAUAAGGUUCUGCAGUUACAGUAAGAGAGUAUCAUCAGCUUUCCUCCACAACUGAGCUUUCAUAAUAAGGUUUAAAAGAUGAAGGGAAGGACGGUGAAAAACCUGUGACUCAGCAACAAUUACAUCUUUGGGAAAUCCUUUCAGUGAUCCGGAGUCAAUAGACCGGAAAAUCUGCAAAAGAAAGAUGUAUACUCAAACUGAAUUCAUUGUCCUUUUCUUUGUAUACAUGUGAAAGAAAAAGGAAAAAAGCUGAGAAAAGAAGCAAAAAGAAAAUGCCAUCAUUUAACCUGAACAUGCCAAUUUUCGGGGUCAUCUUCUCUCUGAACCCAUACAGCUGUGUCGUUUUUGGGAAUGACUGUAAAUUUACUAUCCUUUGAAACUGGUAUCUCAGGACUGAGUAUCCAUGAAAUACGGCCUAUCUUAAUUAAAGCAUCAUCAUGCCAAUGCGAAACCUUUUUACGUAGUCCAAACUCCCUCCAUUGUGUUGCUUUCCUCCACCGUUGCUCAAAGUUUAUGAGAACAUCAUAUGCAGCAGGCCCAUCAAUUCUACAGUGCAAAUCAUGCCAUGGUUGCCUUGGAGCCUUGGUUCCAGCCUAGUGCAAGCACAACCACAAAAACCAUAAAGAUAUAUAUAUAUAUAUAUAUAUAUAUAUAUAAAGUGAGAGCAGUCAAAUUCUAUAUCAUUGUUGUCACAGGCUAUAAGUUAUGCUAGUCCAUGUUGAUAUUUAGCAAGAAUAAGAAAAUGAUGAAAGGGGCCAGCAUGUUAAAAACGAUGAAGAUUAUAGACAGACAGAACACCAAAUACUUACAGGAAAGGUAGGUUGAUGGAAAUCUUCUUUAAACACAGUGUCAACAUCACGAAAUAAUCUGUGCUCAGGCGUGUCAUAACGACCAUCACAGAGAUCAAGCCCCCCUAAAAAUGAAGUUAUCUUGCGGUUAUUACCAGACGCUUGUGUGUCCACAAUUACACAUUUUUGAUGGUGUGUAAAGAGGGUUCCAACAACCUGUAAAAAUCCAUAAAAUAAUGAGUUAAAUUUGAAAAACAAAUGUUAAAUUUGAAAAGCAAAUCACUAACAAGCAUCUGAUCAAAGUUAUUCUCAAACUAUUAAAAUAAAGCCAGAUGUAUCAAAACUGUCAAGAGAUUUAUCCCAUCACCAUUGCAAUUUAAAAUCAUACUGAUCAAAGGAAAACACGAUUACAAAAAUAUAAGAAUUGGAACCUGCCUGUUGUUUCAUAAUGCUAAGCUUACUACUGGCAUAGCGAGGUGCCAGAACACAAGUGACAGAUGAAUUCUUGAAAAACUUCCGGGUUUCUUCAUCAUGUGUUCCCAUCAUUCCUGCCUGCACCAUUCCCACUACGCAUUAUGACUCAAAUCCAUACAGCCAUAUAGAAUCCAGAACAAUCAAUUAAAGACAUUACACAUUUCAAUUCAUACACAAUUCUUAUCACAGUUACUGACAUAAAGAUUCCUAUAUAAGUUCAAAACCACAAUGCAGGUUAAAAUAAUUACCGAUUUUAAGUAGAACUUGUCAUGGGAGGUCUUAUCAUCCCAGACCAGCAUCAACACCCGCACGCCUUCUUCUGACUUAUACUUGAGCAUAUCUCCUAGCGUCAAUUCGCCGCCGCGUGGCAACGGCCGGCUCGGCUCUCUAACCAGCCUCACUUUGUGAUAUAUAGACCAUCCAGCCACAUAAAUCAUAUGGUGAGCCUCCGAAAUCGCAUAGCAAAUGUCUUCCCAGCAAUUCUCAGACUUAUAAACCUUCCUUCCAUCCAAUUCAAUCUGCGGCAGCAGCCCCUCCGGCACGUGCGCGUCCUGGUAGAGCCGCACGUGACUGCCUUUUCUCAGAGGGAAGUAUGUGUUGGGGACUCCCUUCCGUUCUGGAUCGCCGGCUAUGCCGUGCUUGUAUGCCGGAUUUUUCUCGACGGGAGUGAACUUCAACUCGACAUUGAUCGCGCACUGAGGCUUCGGAGGCUUUCCGGCGGGUCCGACAAUAUCGAACCAGCCGGAAAUCACUUCUCCGGUGGCGAUUUUGGCCGCCGAGAUCGAAGCGGUGCCGAUAAUCUGCGCGCCGAAGACGUCGUUAUCUUUGACCUGAAACUCAAGCUUAGCCACGGGAUGCGCGAGCGGGAUGCAAAAAGUCUCCCCCCACUGAGGAUUCUGCGCGUUCUUGAUGACGCGUGUACGCGCCACCGUGGCCUGAGGCACGCACACGCUGACGUAAGAGUCGCUGGUGAUGAGCUUCCGGUGGUGAGAAAUCUUGCCGUCCUCGGCCGACUGCUGAGCCUCCUCGGAGUGAGAACCACAGUUGAUGGUGUCGCAGGCGGUGAAGCAGCGGCGGAACCGUUCGGAGACGAUGUCCAUGUUAGGUAACCGCCGGGCCUCGAUGAUUUGGAGGUCAAGGUCGCCGUGCAGAUAGAUUAUCUGCUCCGACGUCGGGUCUGCCAUGGACGGCGGCGUCGGUUGAGCUCAGUCUAGGACUGAGAUUGGGGUUUGGAAUAGUGACAAAAACAAGGAGGAAAGGUUUUUGGCUUUGCUUGUAACAGCGAGAAACAACUGUACCGCUUUUGAGGGAAUUUAAAACUCGGAGAGAUUUUAGAGGGGAAUAGAGUGAGCGACGGAGGUGUGAGUUGUCAGUUGUCACUGUCCUUAUUUUUAUUUUCUGGAUUUCUUUUUUUUUUGUUUUUUUUUAAAUACAACGAGGAGCCUUUUAAGACGCUCAACAUAAAUUUAAUAAGUUUGAGUGGGAACCUCAUCAAACCAACACUCGGUGAACAAAGAGAGUGACCAAUCAAAACAAGAGUAUCCGCAACAAAAUUGGGUUCACUAAAUGUAUGAGAGAAGGAUAUAUUGUUAAAAUAAUCAGCUAGAGCUUUGACAUUUCGGAUUAGUGACUUGAGUUUUCAAAAAAUAGCAUGAAUCUUGACACAUUUGAUGAUAAAGGCCGAAUCUCCUUCUAAUUCAAUUUGAUGACAAUUACGACUUUUAGCAACAAGAAGCUCGUAUCUAAAGUAAUACAUUCAACCAGCGAAAUUACGAAGUUGUGAAGCUUCCAAGCAAACAAUGGGAGUAUCAACAAAAUCUUCUUUUUUGGAUUUGGAUAUGUUUUAUUCUAUUUAUGUUAGUGUCAGUUACAACUAAUAUCAAUUACACAGUCUUAUAAAUGUAGGUAAACAAAAAACGCGAUUCUAAAUACUACAUACGUUGUACCGCUAUACGAGUACAUUUUUAAAAGUAUAUGUAAUUAGAAAUGGAAUUCUCCCUUUUGUAGAAAACAAUGCUCAAGCUAGAAGAACAAACAAACAAAAUUGUAUACAUGACGGUUAAUUUUAUAUAUAUAUAUAUAUCUAUUAAUAUACAAAAUCAACCAUAUAUAUAUGUGUUAAUAACGGUUAAUUUUUACCGUCACAUGAUAUAUGUAAAUACACAUCUGUAUCUAAAACAAGAGAUUUAAACAUAAUGCCAAGUUGGAAGAAAUGGUUGAUAUUUUUUGUGAGUUGGAUACUCUAUUUUGGAAGUGACCCCAUGUUUCAUAAGUGCAAAUAAAUAUUGGACCCACGUCACUUUCCUCUUUUUUGUGAUCUUGUGGUUAUGAAAUGUUCUAAUUCUGGCAGUGAUUAACUAUCCAAAUCAAUUUGGAAAUUAAGCAUUAUUCCCAUUUGGGAGUGGUGACAAAUUAAUAAUAGAUCUUUUCUAUAAAACUAUAAAAGGUCUAUUAUUAAAUUACAUAGAUUUGUUUGGUGGACGUAUUGACUUGUAUUGAUAGCACUGAUUACAUGUAAAGUGUAGAUUGAAUUACAUAGAAUUAUGUCAAAUGUAAGAAAACUGAAGAUUAAAUUACACGACUUCAGUCGGGAAAAAAAGGUGAAAAGGGUGACCAACAAAGUAGGGUGGUGAGGGCCGGGUGUGGAUAUCAUUUGAUGACACAUUUAUUUAUUUUGAAUGAAAAAUAACUAUGAAUACAAGUGAAAUAAGAGAAUAAAUAAAUUGGUAUUAAGUUCGGAUAAUUGAUUCAUAAACUCUUCUUCCUCAUUCUUAAUUAAAUUCAUGAGUGUAUCAUAAAUCAACUUCUUGACAAAGAGACACCAAUUGAACAAGCAUUUUGCCCUGUGGCAUAGCGAAUGAGAGUGAGAGGGUUAAAAUGACCCUUCUCAUUUUCUCAUACUAUCCAUGAUUAGUUGAUAAACUACUUUCAUGCUUCUUAUGUUUUUAUUACAAAAUUAUUUUAAAGUUUGACCCUCAUACUACUUUCAUACAAUCCAAAAAAAUGUCUCACAAUAUAAGUAAUCGUCGUGAAUAUAGUAUAUAUUUUUAUUCAAACCGGUAAGGAUUUAGGCAAUACUAGCUCCUAUAAUACAAAAAGAAGGAAUAGUUAUGUUCCCCAAAGUACAAUGGAGAAAAAUAAAAGAAGUUUGAAAAAAUUAUUUUUGUUUAGUAGCCAGAAAACUAAACUGUGAGGAUAGCAAUUAUAAACAAGCCAAAAUCUCUUCUAAACCUAGUAACACUGUUAUACUCUUGCAGUAUAAGUUACCUAAACUUAAAACGCAAAAAAGUCUAAAAUUAAAAUCUCACUCUCCAUUAGCAAUUAUAAACAAGCCAAAAUUUGUUCUAAACCUAGUUAGACUGUUAUACUCUUGCAGUAUAAGACUAUAAGUUACCUAACCUUAAAAUGCAAAAAAGUCUAAACUUAAAAUCUCACUCUCGAUUUUCAUUUAGCACCUCGUCGAUUUUAUAUACGAUGGCAGCUGUUCCAAGCUAGCUUCUCUUUGUAUUCCCAGUCAGGAAUACAACCUACAUACACUAAGAAUAGGACUACUGACAGAAUAUAUAGUUAGGAUCGCCCUACCAGAAUAUACAGGUAAACCCAGCUAACUUAUCCAGCUAUUCCACGAAUCAAAUCAUGUACAGAUAGGAAAGGUUUCCUUGAGUUGCUGAGUGGUCGGGUUACCCUACCUAUCAUUCUAUGGGUGGUUGCCAUGUCCCCUCAUGCACGAUGUAACGAUUGUAACCUGCUCCUCAUGAGUCAUGACAGGACAUGUAUAUCUAGUUUAGGAUUGAAGUUAGAACACAAAUUAAUGAUUUGGUUAAUUAACUAUGAUUUAGGAGUGACGGUCGAGUAUUUGUAACGGUUUGGGUCCUCGAAAUAGUGAUUGUAAAUCGAGUUUCUAACUUAAUUUCCAACUCUUUCUUGCCAUUUGAGGUAACCCGAACAUCAUGAUACAUCAAGUCGAUCCGUGUUUAUCAAAUAAAAAUGUUAUAUAAAAUCAUAAACGUAAUAUGAUAUUUAUCAAUUUGACGAUUUGGUUAAGUAACUGUGAUUUAGGAGUGAAGGUAAAACCUUUGUAACGGUUUGAAUCGUCCAAACAAUUAAAAAAAGCUUAUAAAAUUAAGGCUAUAAACUUAAUAUGGUAUGUGAAUUUUUUUUUUUUUUUAAUUGACCUACGAAUCGCUCUGUCAUUGGCUUCUCCAUUCAUCAUUUCUUUUUCAAAUUGUAUUUGUUAUUACUUUGUUUUUUAUAUGCGACUUUGUGGUUUUUGUAAAUUUUUAUAAUGAAAAAAGGCUGUGGGCUAGCCGUGGGCUUGGACGCACAAUCAGUUGGUAUUAUGUCAUUCCAUAUCCAUAUUUAUAGAGCAAACCCAUAAUCAGCCUCAAUAACUUAACCACCCCAAGAUUAGCAACUCGCGAAGUCGCCAACCAUGCACCCCUAAUCUGGUGACCGCCUGACCGGAACUCACCGUGAUCACUCCGGAGUCGGCUAAAAGCCACCCCGAAAUAAUGAAACAUUGGACAAAGACAUAAGGAACAAAAAGAAAACCAUGACCAGUAAACACAAUAUAGGAAAUUCAGAAUGUUGUUUGUUUUCUUGAUCGAAAUAAGUACAUAUGGUCGCAUGUAGAAUAUACGUUACAUAUAUAGAUCUCAUACACUUAUUUAUUCAGAUUUUGUGGAAUUGUAACAUGUAACACCACUUAUUUAUUCAGAUUUUGUGUAAUUGUCAUGAUGUUUCAUUGAAGCUGACAUGCUAUCAGCAAUUGAUGAAUGAAUUCUCUAAAAAAGUUUCUCAUUCUUGGAGCAGCUGUAGGAGCAAGAAUCAACAUAGCCUUGUGCAUAGCUUGUGAGAUCUACAUGACAAACAAUCAUAUCGUAAAUAACUUGGAAGUAUAAUGAAAUUACAAAUGAGAAAGAAUCUAAUCAAGUAGAAAUUUAGGUACCAGAAACGGAAAUAUUGGCAACGGGGGUCAUAACUUUGCUCACAGAGGUCACACAAUCACGAGCACAACCAUAGGCAACGUCGCCGGAAUCAGUAUACGUAGUUGGAAUAAGCCUGCAGGCAACCAUGCAAAGCCCGAAGCACGCUACAUAAUUUGGAGGAUCUUCUAAGGAAGGAAUGCAAGAGACACCACACUUCUUGGCACACGAUUUGGUUUUUGAGUUUGGAAAGACAAGAGAGUCAUGAGGAGCUGGCGCUGCUGCUACUGAAAGCACAAGCAUGCUUAGCAAUCCCACACAUCUCAACACAGUUCUAGUACUAGCCUCCAUUGCAAAGUUAAGUUCUCUUCUCUUUUAAUCAAUUGGUUUUUGGUUUUGGUUUGUUGCUAGGAUGAAGUGGAAGCUAAGCUCAAACCUUAAUUUAUAGGGUGGCAAUUUAUUCAAUCUCUCAAGGAGGUAAUUUAUUUGGAUCCAGUGUAUUUAGUUUUACAUGCAUCUACACAAGGGAAAAUGAAUGUACACAUGCGUAAAUGAUAAUUAAUUGUGACACAAAAAACAAAUCAAAUUGGAAUCUUAUCCAACAAUAUAUGGGAAUAAUGUAAUAUUUUGGGAAAAUGCCCAAAUGCCCAAAAACAAGGAUUUUAAUGCCUACUUCAAUGCAAAUCUUUUCUGUUAGCCCAUUUCAAUGAUUCUUAUGCAAAAGACAUUAUUAUCCUCUAUAGAAUUAAACCCAUACAAAUCUCAUCUUUUUCUCUUCUCUCUCUUUUCUUUUCCUCCCGAUCUGCUCUCUGCUCUGCUCUCUCUCUCUCUCUCUCUCUCUCUCUCUCUCUCUCUCUCUCUCUCUCUCUCUCUCUCUCUCUCUCUCUCUCUCUCUCUCUCUCUCACACACACACACAGAUCCUUCGUCGACGACCUCAUCCUCGCCUCCACCAUCUCCGGCGACCUCUUCCGUUGAGGGACGUCUGUCCGCCACAUCUUGAUGAGCGCGCCGCUCUCCUCCGACCUCCUCUCGUCUCUAGGCGCUCGUUGGUCGUCGUUGGUCUCUCGCCGCUCGUCGGUCGCGGCUCAUCUCUCGGCGCUCAUCGGUCAGCACUCGGCUGUCGUCGGUUUUCUCUCAGCACUCGGCGCUCGACGGUCUUCUCUCGGUGCUCAGCGGUCGUCGGUCUUCUCUCGACGCUCGGCGGUCGUCGGUCUUCUCCCGACGCUCGGCCUCCAUGGCCAGAUCGAAGUCGUCGAGUGCGUGGUGAGGGAGGUGAAGCAGUUUUGAUGAGGGAGGAGUAGGUACGGUGAGGGAAGGCGCAUGGUAAGGGAGUAGAUCCGGUGUGUGAGGGUGCAUGGGUUUGUUGUAGGUGUAGUUGUAUUUUUGUAGUUGAUAGGUAACUUGAUUAUUCGUGUUGUAGUUUUGAUUGAUUAUUGAUGGUCAAUAACUCGAUUAUGUUCUGGUAUUUCUUCUUUUCUAUUACAAUAAGUUGAUUAUUGGGGGUCAGUAACUGAUUAUUAGAGGCUAAUAACACGAUUAUUAGGGGUCAGUAACUGGUCAAUAACUGGUUACUGGGGGUUAGUAACUGGUUAUUAGGGAUUAGUAACUGGUUAUUAGGGGUCAUUAACUGGUUAUUGGGGGUCAGUAACUAGUUACAAAGGAAAUUCCGAUGAUCGGAGUCUCGCGGUCGGGGAAAUUCCGGUGACCGGAGUCCGGCGGUCGAAAAAAUUCCGAUGACUGGAGUCCGGCGAUUGGAAAAAUUCCGGUGACCGGAGUUCGGUGGCCAGUGACAAUAGUCCGGUGAGAUUCUGGCCAAGUAUUCUCUCUUUUAUUUUCUCUCUCUAUGCAUAUGUAAGGGGUGAUGGCAAAAUAGUCUUAAAAUAAUAUGGUUUGUUAAGACUUUAGUAAAGAUUUGUGCAUUUGGGCAUAAAGAUUUGUGCAUUGGGGUAUUAAAAAGGGCACCUUAUAUUGAAAUGGGCUAAUAAAAAAGAUUUUCAUUGGAAUGAGAAAUAAAUGGUUUAGAUUAGUACUAAAUAGGCAUUUUCUCUAAUAUUUUUAUUCAUCUCUCAAGCGUAACUUAUUUAUUUGACCAAAAAAGGGAGGUAACUUAUAUAGUUUUAUAUCCAUGAACGGGAAAAUUAUCAUUAUAUUUAACUAUAACAUUAAUGAUAAUUAAUUGAGACACCAAAAAUAAAUCAUGAUUACAUUCUUAUAUAUGGGAACAUAUGAGAGUGGUUCUAACGAGGACCAUUAAGUUAAGGACUACUUGAGGGCUUAUUCGUUUCACUCAUUUUUCGAUCGCAUAUUCACAUCUCGAUCGUCUAGUUUGUAGAUAUAUAUGAGUAGAUUAUCUCUAUAAAUUUUCAUUCAAAUUGAAAAUCGUUAAGACAUUCAGAAAUGUGAUUUACCAAUUAUAAAAUUGAACGGCUCCAAUUUGACAGAUUUGAAUCGUCCAUUGAUUUGAUUUAGUUCGUUCUUUUAACGACCAUCAAUUUGACUGAAAAUUUGUACAAAUGAUCUAUUAAUAUAAACCUAAAACUGAACGAUAAAGAUAGAAAAAUGUAAUUAAAAAGUGGGUGUAAUUAAACGAUUAAUGAGAAAGUCAUCAACUAAUCCUUAAUUUAGUGGUCCUCGUUAGAAUCCCCCCUCAUGGGAACAUUCUCACAUUUAACAAACUACAUAUUAGUUACUAACCAAAUAUCAGUUUACAAAUACAUCAUUUACACAUUAUUUCACACACUUAAGGACAAAAAUUAACAAAUAGGUAAUGUCCACAUAUCAUCUCACUCAUCUGUCACUAUGUAUUUUACCAGAAUACCUUUCACUACAUAUUCUGUUGCUAUUGACGACGAGAAAUGUGCUACUUCCAAUAAAAAUGUGCUACUUACGAUGCUAUUGCAAUUUAAUUUGCUACUUAUGGUGUCAAAUAAGAAAUUUCACACUUUAAUUUUAGAGCGAAAUUUCAGAGCGAAGCUUCGCUCUGGAUAUAAAUUGUAUAAUUAAAGUGUGAAGUUCCUUACUGUCGACGAGAAAUGUGUUACUGCCGAGCAGAAAUGUGCUACUGCCAAUAAAAAUGUGCUACUUACGGUGCUAUUACAAUUUAAUUUCCUACUUACGGUGUCAAAUAAGGAAUUUCACACUUUAAUUUUAGAGCGAAAUUUUAGAGCGAAACUUCGCUCUGGAUAGAAACUAUAUAACUAAAGUGUGAAGUUCCUUAUUUGACAUAUUUUUCUGUCAUAUUUCAAUAUCUUCAUCGUUCAAUUUAUUGAUACUAGUGUAUAGAUCAUUCAUGCAAAAUUAUUUGACACAUUUUUCUGUCAUAUUUUAAUAUCUUCACCGUUCAGUUUAUUGAUACUAGUGUAUAGAUCAUUCAUGCAAAAUUUUAUUCAAAUUGAUGAUCGUUUAUGUACCGAAUUAGGUUAAAUCAAUGAACGGACCAUAAAUAUGUAUAACUAAAACUGUUUGUGUAAAUCACGAUCAUGAACACCCAAACGACCAUCAAAUUCAAUAAAACUUGGCAGAAUUUGUUUCUACAAACUGAACGGUGAAGAUGUUGAAAUAUGACCGAAAAGUGUGUCAAAUAACUAUAUAUCAGUUCCCUUCCAGAGCAGGACACCGCUUUGAAAUUAAGGUGUGGUGUUUCUCAUUUCGCUCACUUUUAGGUCACAUUUUUAUAUCUCCACCGUUCAGUGUCUAGAAUAUAGUGUUUAGAUUAUUCCUAUAAAAUUUCAUUCAAUUUGGAGAUCAUUUGAGCUUCCGUAAUUGUAAUUUACACGAACGGUUUCGUUUGGACAGAUUUUGUUUAGUUGAUUCAUUUAAUCUAAUUCGGUAUCAAAAUGAUUUCCAAAUUGGAUGGAACUUUACAGAAAUGAUCAACACACUAUGUUCUAGACACUGAACAGUGAAUAUGUGAAAAUAUGACCUAAAAGUGAGCAAAAUGAGAAGCACCACACUUUAAUUUCAAAGCGGUGUUCCACUCUGGAAGGAAACUUAUAUAUAUAUAUAUAUAUAUAUAUAUAUAUAUAUCCGAAUCUAGAAAGGACCUCUUUAAACUCUUAAAGUGAGGAUGUUUUUAGUCUAGCAUAUAUUUGACAAUCAAAGCCACUCAUUCCCUAGUUAUUUACCCACAUAUGAAUCCUAAAAAAAAAUUACCAAAAUGAAAAAUGUUUAACCAUUUGAUUAACACAAUAUUUGUUUUAAUUUUAUCUAACGGCCUAUAAUUGUUUAUGUCAAUUUGAAUGACCAAAUGAUUAUGGAAUUAGUUGAAAUUUUGUAGACAUGUAUCUUGCAUAUGAAUUUAGAUGAUCAACGGUUAACAUCGUUAAAUGAAGUCAUCUACUAAUGUAAAAUAGUAGAAAUUCUCAAAUUCUUAAAGUAAGAAGGUCCUCUUUAGAUCCUAUAUAUAUAUAUAUACCUUUCUCGGCUGCGGACGUCCGCACCAACGAUUUUGGUGAGGAUUUGCUAUUUUUGCACCACUUUCCGAUCUAAAUUUUCUCAUCUCCACCGUCUAGUAUCUAGAUAAUAUNNNNNNNNNNNNNNNNNNNNNNNNNNNNNNNNNNNNNNNNNNNNNNNNNNNNNNNNNNNNNNNNNNNNNNNNNNNNNNNNNNNNNNNNNNNNNNNNNNNNNNNNNNNNNNNNNNNNNNNNNNNNNNNNNNNNNNNNNNNNNNNNNNNNNNNNNNNNNNNNNNNNNNNNNNNNNNNNNNNNNNNNNNNNNNNNNNNNNNNNNNNNNNNNNNNNNNNNNNCAGAGAUGAUCUACACAAUAUUAUCUAGAUACUGGACGAUGGAGAUGAGAAAAUUCGAUCAAAAAGUGGUGCAAAAAUAGAAAUCCGCACCAAAAAAUUGAUGCGGAGAAAAUCCGUAUAUAUAUAUAUAUAUUUAUAUCUUCAGCAAAAUGUACAUACAUUCAGCAAUUAUUGAUUCAAACUUGUCCAUGAGCAAACAACAUUCAUUUCUCUCAACAUUUAUCGAAUGUUAUUGUUUUUUUAUUUAUUUAUUAUCGAGACAAGUGCAUAAUUGUACAUCAUUACAGUACAUGUGUAAAUUAAUCUCCUACCACGCAUUAUCAUUUAGUAUUAAUCUUGCAUAUUCUAUUAUUUAACACCAAAAUGUUCUACUCAAUAGGUGACAUGCUAUUAACUAGCAGUUGAUGAAUUAUCCAAAAACGUGGAAAUGAGAAGAAUAAGUAACGGAAAAUAGAGGGUUUGGCAGCAGUGGUCAGUGGUCAUGGCUUUGCUCAUAGAGCUCACACAACUAUACGAGUACAACCAUAGGCAACAUCAGAAUUUAGCCAAUCUUGCAGGCAGUCUUGCAAAGGCCGAAGCACGUUGCAUAUUUUACAGGACUACUGACUAUGUCCAAAGCGCAAGAAGCUGCUGCUAAUGAAAGCACAAGCAUGCCAAGCAAUGCCACACAUCUCAACACAGUAUUCGCACUAGCCUCCAUUGCUAAACUGAUUUGGUUAUUCUAGCUAGCUAGUUUACUCUGUUGAUGGAUGAAUCGCUAGUUGACCUCAAGGCGCCAGGGUGGUUGUUUGGCCGUCUAUAUGCCACCGUGGCACGGUCUUCUUGGCCGACUCGGAUCUGGGCAGUUGGAUGCGCGAUCUUCUUCUCCCAAAAGAUCAACGGACCGGGUCUCGUCGGGUUCUCCAAAGGUUUGGUUUGUUGUGUAGCACAAUAUCAUGCACCUUGUGGCGUUAAGGUUGCGGAUGAUUCUGAUUACGGUGCCAUGGAAGCAACUGAAGGCGGCGGCGCAAACCCUAAUGCAAUCACACAAGCGUCGAGAUGACUAAUGUUGUCAAGCAAGGUUGAGCCUAUUGAGCUUGCUUCUUCUGGGCUUGGGAUAAUGUUCUUGAACCUUAUUUUGGGCCUGUGAAUGAGUGGGUUGGCAUUUUAUGAUUAGGUUAAAGUUUUCUAUUACAGUGUUUGUCAUGCACGGGUGGUAGGUUUGUUUUAAGUAAGCAAGCGAUUGAACCGUUAAAUGAUUAGGCUUAUUCUAUGUAUCACUAUGAUCUUGUAUCGCAAACUUUUUAUCAACCCAUAGUCGGUAGAGAGAGGGUGUGUAAUAGUUUUUUCUCGCUUGAGUAUCAAUAUAUCAUCGAUAUUUUUCAAAAAAAUAUGGUUGCAUGCAUGAUAUAUAUUACAUAUAUAAAUAUCCUAUAACUGUUAUUCAUUAUUUUGUAUAUUUUUAAAAUGUAAUACCACAAUGUUCCAUUGAAGUUGACAUGCUAUCAAGCAAUUGAUGAAUUAAUUAUCUAAAAAAGCUUGUUAUUCUUGGAGCAGCUAUAGGAGCAAGAAUCAACAUAGCCUUGUGCAUAGCUUAUGAGAUCUACAUGACAAACAAUCAUAUCGUAAAUAACUUGGAAGCACAAUGAAAUUAUAAAUGAAUUAUUCAAAAAAAAUGAAAUUAUAAAUGAGAAAGAGAGAAUCUAAUCAAGUAGAAAUAUAAGUACCAGAAACGGAAACAUUGGCUACGGGGGUCAUAACUUUGCUCACAGAGGUCACGCAAUCAUGAGCACAACCAUAGGCAACGUCGCCGGAAUUAGUAGUUGGAAUAAUCCUGCAGGCAAUCAUGCAAAGGCCGACACACCCUACAUAUUCUGGAGGAACUUCUAUGGAAAGAAGGCAAGAGAUGCCACACUUUGCCGCACACGAUGAGGUUUUUGAGUUUGGAAAGACAAGAGAGUCUGUUGGCACUGCUGCUAAUGAAAGCACAAGCAUGCCUAGCAAUCCCACACAUCUCAACAUAGUUUUAGUAUUGACCUCCAUUGCAAAGUUCCUCUUCUCUUUUAUUUGGUUUUAGUUUUGGUUUUUGUUUGUUGCUGGAUGAAGUGGAAGCUCAAAGCUUAAUUUAUAGGGUGGUUCUUUUGCAUUCUAUGGAAAUGUCAUCAAUUCUUUUUUUUCUUUUUUUUUAAGAAAUAAAAAUGUCAUCAAUUCUUAAUCAACAGUAUAUUGAAAAUAAUGUUAUACUUAUAUUCAUCUAUCCAUAUUUAGUUUUACAUCCAUGGACAUAACGGAAAGUAAUCAUUAUAUCUAAUUAGUAUCUCCAGCAGUGUUGCUAAAAAUAAAAUUUGUCAAUUUUUAAGGUAAAUUGAUGCUCCAACAGAAUACAUAAACUAUUGCUAAAUUUGAUAAUUGCUAAAUGAAAUUGACAAAUUUGUCAAUGAUUCAUCCAUAACUAAAAUUAUAGCUAAAUCUUCUCUUUCCUCUCUUACCCAGGUAUCACUUUACAAUUUGUUAAAAAAUAAUAAAUAGCAGUGACUGAUGGAGCAACAUUGUUAAAUUAAUACCUAAAUUUCAAAAUUCUUGCUAAAUAUAUCAAUUUAUGAAUUUCACUGCUGGAGAUCCUCUAGCGUUAUUGAUAAAUAAUUGGGACACAAAAGAUAAAUCAUAAUGAAAUUUAUUGAUACAACUCGUCAACAGUCAAGACAAUUAUAUUACCUUGUUUGUUUCGCAAAAAGUAGGCAUCAGGAAAGUAAAGUAGUUUUUUUCCUACAUUUGGGAAAACAGAAGGAAAGGAAAGACUUUCAUGCAUGAAAGAAAAAUAUGGGAAAAAGUGGCCCAUUCCAAAAUCCAAAUGAACCACUUUCUUUCCGUCUUUCCUUGCUUUCCUUACGUUACUAAACAUCAGAUGAUCAGAAUGAAAACUUCUCUGGAAAUUUCAUUUCCGUUCACUUUCUGUUCCCAUCGGAGAGAGCAAGAAACUACUUUCCAUUCCGUGAACCAAACGAGGCGCCUGAGGUUUUGAUUUUGAGGAUGAGCUUCGUCUAUACCCAUAACAUUGUCUUGCUUAUUACUUUGGUUACUAGAGCGUAUUCUCAUGAUAGUUACAUUUAGGAUUAAAUUCAGUGUACUAUCCUAAAUUUCAGGUCACUCAUUAUUUAAUGACAUUUAUGCCCUUUUUAGUGGGUUAAAAACUAAACGGUGGGUCCUCUUUGUAUCCUACACGUCGGAUGCUUAUGUCAUGCCUAGAGGGAAUUGGAAAAUUUUCCGAUUUUGAUAGAUUUUAAGAGUAUAAAGAUACACGUGAUUAAGAAAAGAACAUAGACACAACUGAUAAAUGACCUAAAGUUCAAGGUAUUACAUUGAAUUUCAUCCUUACAUUUAAGUUGUUAUGUGGCAGCCCAACUUGGCUUGAUAUUGACGUGACCCCUUCAAAAAAUGUCAUGUUUGUAUACUUAGACACAUUGAAACAUUUAUAUACUAUCAAUAAAAUGUACACACAUUCAUCAAAUUAUUGAUCUUGUCCAUUAACAGUUAACUAACAAGAUUUGGUUCUCUCAACAUAAUUUUGGUAGCACAACUUCCGAUGACCACGAGGCAAAACACAUAUCCCAGAACAACCACAUUGUGCCACAGACCAAUCAUUAGCCUAAACUAAACUGCUUUGAUAGACCAAUUCACUUGCAUUACUUUGUGUCAUCAGCUUCACCAUCUGUACCUCUUCUCCUCAAAUUGUAUUUGUGUUACUUUGAACCUCAUUUUUUAUUAUUACACAUAUUAUGAACCAAAAGAAACUAUGACGAAUAAAAACAAAUUGGUAAAUUUUGAAUAUUAUUGUUUUCUUGAUCGAAAUAUGUACAUAUUUUCAUGUACAAGAUAUAUGUUGCAAUUUACACAGGUAUGUAGCGGUAUUUUGUAUAUUUGAAACACCAGGAGGUUCCACUAAAGCUGAAUUGCUGCUAAUCACAGCCACAAUAGAAAUGAGAAUCGAAAAGGAGAGUUUAUGUAGAAGUAUAGGUACCAGUAAUGGCGGGUUCGGCAAGAGUGUUUGUGAUGUCUUUGCUCAUAGUGGUCAUGAGUCAUGACUUUGUUCGAUCAUAGGGCUCACACAACCACAAGCACAGUCAUAACAAAGGUCUGAAGUUGAUUGCCACUAGUAGAACCACGAGCACAGUCAUAGCAUGCUUGAUAUGAACGAUGAAAGCAUAAUGUCACGCCCCGUCAAUUUAACAAGGAGUUUCCUUGAGCAUUUUUGACACAAGCAUGGCUCAAAGAAGGAUUUGGUGAGCACAUGAGCAUUCUAGAAGUAUCCGGAAUAUUAUGAAAGGUCUUGGAAGCUUCUGGAAAGAUUAGGAAGAAUUCAGACAACUCCGAAACUCUCUAGAAUCUUAGAGUCUCUAAGACACUCCGAAACUCUCUAGAACCCUAGAGAGGGGUUCAAGGCUCAAGACUACUCUGAAAGUCUCUAGAAUACUCAAUGUAACACUUAGAAUAGUAUAGAAAACUCUAGAAUCUCUAUACUUCUAAAAAUCCUAGAAUUGUCUAAAAACUUAGACAAAGGGGGAGGAUUCCUAUAAAUAGGGAGGCACCCCUCCCAUUUGAGACAUAGAGAGUUGGAUAGCAUUCAAGCUCACUCACUUGUAAAACUUUGUAAAGUUCUCUUAGCUUAAUACAAGUUCUCUCUUUCAAAGUUCUUCUCCCUUUGUUCGAGUAUUCUAGUCGAUCAAAGCGUUUGCGUGAGUACGGCUGAUUUAGCAUAAGGGAAGUGCUAAGGCCGCACGAGAAGCUUAGGAAAAAGGAAGCUCGUGACAAUAAGCUUGCCUAGAAAAGCCACACUUCUUAACAAACUACUUAAGUUGGGUCAUAAUUUUAACCUCAGACACCAUUAUGAUAUUAUAGAAACUAUAUUCACCUUAAUUAUCAAUCAUCCAUACUUCGCGUACUGUUAUUAAAAUUUUCCCAUAUAUAUAUAUAUAUUACAUAUGUAAAUAUCCUACAACUAUUAUUCAUUAUUUUGUAUAUUUUUAAGAUGUAACACCACAAUGUUCCAUUGAAGCUGACAUGCUAUCAGCAAUUGAUGAAUUAAUUCUCUAAAAAAAUCUUGUUAUUCUUGGAGCAGCUGUAGGAGCAAGAAUCAACAUAGCCUUGUGCAUAGCUUGUGAGAUCUACAUGACAAACAAUCAUAUCGUAAAUAACUUGGAGGCACAAUAAAAUUAUAAAUAAGAAAGAGAAAAUCUAAUCAAGUAGAAAUAUAGGUACCAGAAACGGAAACAUUGGCAACGGGGGUCAUAACUUUGCUCACAGAGGUCACACAAUCACGAGCACAACCAUAGGCAACGUCGCCGGAAUUAGUAGUUGGAAUAAUCCUGCAUGCAAUCAUGCAAAGCCCGAAGCACCCUACAUAAUUUGGAGGAUCUUCUAAGGAAGGAAUGCAAGAGACGCCACACUUCUUGGCACACGAUUUGGUUUUUGAGUUUGGAAAAACAAGAGAGUCAUGAGGAGCUGGUGCUGCUGCUAAUCAAAGCACAAGCAUGCUUAGCAGUCCCACACAUCUCAACACGGUUCUAGUACUAGCCUCCAUUGCAAAGUUCCUCUUCUCUUUUAUUUGGUUUUAGUUUUGGUUUUUGUUUGUUGCUGGAUGAAGUGGAAGCUCAAAGCUUAAUUUAUAGGGUGGUUCUUUUGCAUUCUAUGGAAAUGUCAUCAAUUCUUUCUUUUCCUUUUUUAGAAAGAAAAAUGUCAUCAAUUCUUAAUCAACCAGUAUAUUGGAAAUAAUGUUAUAUUUAUAUUCAUCUCUCCAUAUUUAGUUUUAUAUCAAAGUAAUCAUUAUAUCCAAUUAUAGCGUUAUUGAUAAAUAAUUGAGACACAAAAAAUAAAUCAUGAUGAAAUUUAUUGAUACAACUUGUCAACAGUCAAAGCAGUUAGCUAGUUACAUUGACUAUCUUAAGGCCUCGUUUGUUUCGCAAAAAGUAGCAUCAAGAAAGUAAACUAGUUCAUUUCCUACGUUUCGAAAAGCAGAACCAAACUAGCGCGUAUUCUCACGGUAGUUACAUUUAAGAUUAAAUUCAGUGUAUUACCCUUAAUUUUAUGUCAUUUAUCAGUUGUGUCCUUGAUAUUUUUUUUUUAAUCAUGUGUGCCCCCUUGUGCUCUUAAAAUCCAUCAAAUUUGGAAACAAUUUCAAAUUCCCUCUUGGGAAUGACGUAAACAUCCGACGUGGAGGAGACAAAGAGGACCCAUCGAUUAGUUUUUAUCCCAUAAAGAAGGGUAGAAAAGUCAUUUAAUGCUAUUUUCUUUUCUCACUUUUUUUUGGUUCUCUCUCUCUCUCUCAACUUCGCCAAUUUUCUUUUCACUUCACCCAUUUGAAGAAUCAAACCCUAACUUGAACACCUUCCGCCAUAUCUAAUCAAACCCACAACCAAACAAUCAGCAAACCCCACAAUCCCUACACUUCAGCUCUUCUUCCCUUGAAAUUUAAUCCCAAAUUCGUUGUGAAAUUCAGUAGAAAAAUCCCCAAAUUGCAAUCAUCAAAAAUCUAAAACUCAACAUUGAGGAACUGAACAACUCCAUCUUCUUCUCCGAUUACCACGAGGACACCCAGCUCUGCAUCCUCUCCUUCUUGACCCCACCCGAGAUUACAAAUUCGCCUGCACCUCGAAACAGUCUGCAGGAACGAUGACGAGCUCUACUUCUCCACGUGCGACCGCCGAUAAGAAGAAGAAGAAGAAGAGUGCGAUCAUCGACGACGAGCUCUAGUUCUAGUUCUCCAAUUUUAUGGUUUCAAAUUGGGUUUGAGAUAGAAGAGGAGAGUGUGAGAGGAAGAAGAAGAGCUGACGAGGAGAGCGAGAGAAGAGAGGAGAAGGAGGAAAAAGAAAAGAAAGUCAAAAUUGAAAAGAAAAAAAUGACAUUAUUGACAUUUAUGACCUUUUUAGUGGGUUAAAAACUGAAUGGUGUAUCCUCUUUGUCUCCUACACGUCGGAUGCUUAUGUCUUGGUUAGAGGGAAUUGGAAAAUUUUCUUUGAUGGAUCUUAAGAGUAUAAGGGUACACGUGAUUAACAAGAAAAACAUGACACAGCUGAUAAAUGACCUAAAGUUCAAGGUAAUACACUGAAUUUAAUCAUUACAUUUAAGUUGUUAUAUGACAGCCCAACAUGGCUUGAUAUUGACGUUACCCCUUCAAGAAAUGUCAUGUUUGUAUACUUACACACAUUGAAACAUUUAGGACUAAUUUCCGUUUACCCCCAUCAACUUUAUGUCGAUCAUCAUGUUAGUUCUUCUUCUUUCAAUUUCAUCAAAAACACCCGUCAACUUCCAAUUUUCAUCAGCCGCGCAUGUCCAAACCUCCAAUCUCCAUCAAAUUCUUCUGUUAAGUGAUGACUUGAUAUCAAGAAGAAAGUCAAAUUUUUUGAAAGUUACCUUUCGAACCAUUUUUCUUCCAUAUCAAUACACAUCUUCGUUCUCAUCACAACCCUCUAACCUUAGUGAUUUUGGUGGGAUUGAAUGUAAUUUGUCUAUUUUUCCUUUUUUCUUUCUUCUUGAUAUCAAGUCAUCACUUAACAGAGGAAUUGGAUGGAGAUUGGAGGUUUGGACAUGCGCGGCUUAUGAAAAUUGGGAGUUGAAGGGGUGUUUUUGAUGAAAUUGAAAGAAGAAGGACUAACAUGAUGAUCGACCUAAAGUUGACGAGGGUAAACUGAAAUUAGUUCAAACAUUUAUAUACUAUCAACGAAAUGUACACACAUUCAUCAAAUUAUUGAUCUUCUCCAUUAACAGUUAACUAACAAGAUUCGGUCCUCUCAACAUAACUUUGGUAGCACAACUUCCGAUGACCACGAGGCAAAACAGAUCCCAGAACAACCACAACAUAACUUUGGUAGCACAACUUCCGAUGACCACGAGGCAAAACACAUCCCAGAACAACCACAUUGUGCCACAGACUGAUCAUUAGCCUAAUCUAAACUGUUUUGAUAGACCAAUUCACUUGCAUAACUUUGUGUCAUCAGCUUCACCAUCUGUUCCUUUUCUCCUCAAAUUGAAUUUGUGUUACUUUGAAACUCUUUUUUUAUUUUUUAUUAUUACACAUAUUACGAACCAAAAGAAACUAUAACCAAUAAAAACAAACUGGUAAAUUUUGAAUAUAUAUAUUUAUAUAUAUUAUUGUUUUCUUGAUCGAAAUAUGUACAUAUUUUCAUAUACAAGAUAUAUGUUACAAUCUACACAGGUAUUUAGCGGUAUUUUGUAUAUUUGUAACAUCAUGCCACUGAUGCCAGGAGGUUCCACUAAAGCUGAAUUGCUGCUAAUCACAACCACAAUAGAAAUGAGAAUCGAAAAGGAGAGUUUACGUAGAAGUAUAGGUACCAGUAAUGGCGGGUUUGGCAAGAGUGGUUGCGAUGUCUUUGCUCAUAGUGGUCAUGACUUUGUUCGAUCAUAGGGCUCACACAACCACGAGCACAGUCAUAGCAAAGGUCCGAAGUUGAUUGCCACUACUAGAACCACGAGCGCAUGCACAGUCAUAGCAUGCUUGAUAUGAACGAUGAAAGCAUAAGCUUUGCCUAGAAAACCCACACUUCGUAAAAAAGUAUUAGCCGCCUGAUAUCAGUGAUAUGAACAUAAAAGUAUACAGGGAGGUCUUAUGUUGUGAAUUGAUCAGGAAUUUUAAUAGUAUGAGCUCCGAUAACUUUGCCGCCAACAUUAGGGAAAUUUUCAUAUCCUGGCAGAGGUUCCACCUUACCAUAAGCCCUUACCAGCAACGGAUACCUGAGAAGGUGACCCUGCAGUUCUGUGAAAUCCGGUGAUGUGUAUCUCCUCCAGUUUUCUUCGGCAAUGCCAUUCACAGUCCUCACAGUUUCCAAACUCUCUGCCCCUUUAAAGCAUGUGUCCAACAUACCGAGAUGCUCAGCCCAGAGUGACAUUCGAUACCCAUAUAUCUGCAAGAAGAUAUAUUCAAAGUUUAUGAAUCAAUAUAAAUGUCAAACAAAUGUCGAAAAAUUCCUCGAUAUGGGGAUUCCGUGCAAGUUUCUUAGAAUUGAGGAUUUGGGGAGCAAAGGAGCAAUACGGGGCUGCAAGUCUAGAGUUCUACAGCAAGACAAGAAGUAUAGAUAUGUUCUGGAACAGCUUGUGCUCAUGGAAGAUAAAAGUAUAUACAAGUCAUUUCUCCACAAAUGUCUUCUUUAGCCAAAGAAGAGGAGAAUCAAUAAAUUAGAAGUUUGCAAAUGGCAAAAAACACUAGGUUACAUGCCUGACCACAAGGAUGUCUCUGCUUCUCAGCCCAAGUGUGAUGGGGUUGAUACGCACCCAUAGCUAUCUCAGUGUCUUUAGUACCAGCCGUUGACCUUUGGUUAAUAUUGGUUGAUCCCAGUAUGACGUACUCGUCAUCUACUAUUAUACCCUUGCAUACAUAAAUCAUUAAGACAUUUAAACUCGAUUAAAUCAUUAAGAUACUUAAAUUCGAUUAAACUAAUGGAUGAACAUAAUUCUGUCGAAUUUGAACCGUUCAUGUUUAUAACAGAAAAACGUAGUUUUGAGUGUCUUAAUGAUAACCAAAUUGGCUGAAAUUUUGUAUAAAUGAUCUAUACAGUAGUAUCUAAAGACUAAACGGUGGAGAUGUAAAAAUUUGAUUGAAAAGUGAGUCUAAAGUGGAAAUCCGCACCGUAAAAAUAAAUGCGAACGUGUGUGUAGUAGAGAAAGUCUAUAUAUAUAUAUAUUAUAUAUCUUCAACAAAAUCUACAUACAUUGAGCAAUUAUUGAUUCAAACUUGUCCAUGAGCAGCAAACAACAUUCAUUUCUCUCAACAUUUAUCGAAUGUUAUUGUUUUCUUGAUCGAGACAAGUGCACAAUUGUACAUCAUUACAUGUGUAAAUUAAUCUCCUACUACGCAUUAUCAUUUAGUAUUAAUCUUGCAUAUUCUAUUUUUUAACACCAAAAAAUGUUCUACUCAAUAGGUGACAUGCUAUUAACUAGCAGUUGAUGAAUUAUCUAAAAACGUGGAAAUGAGAAGAAUAGGUAAUGGAAAUUGGAGGGUUUGGCAGCAGUGGUCAGUGGUCAUGGCUUUGCUCAUAUAGCUCACACAACUAUACGAGUACAACCAUAGGCAACGUCAGAAUUUAGCCAAUCUUGCAGGCCGUCAUGCAAAGGCCGAAGCACGUUGCAUAUUUUACAGGACUACUGACUAUGUCCAAAGCGCAAGAAGCUGCUGCUAAUGAAAGCACAAGCAUGCCAAGCAAUGCCACACAUCUCAACACAGUAUUCGCACUAGCCUCCAUUGCUUAACUGAUUUGGUUAUUCUAGCUUAGCUAGUUUACUUUGUUGAUGGAUGAAUCGCAAGUUAACCUCAAGGCGCCAGGGUGGUUGUUUGGCCGUCUAUGAAAAUGCUACUGUGGCACGAUCUUCUUGACCGACUCAGAUCUGGGUAGUUGGAUGCGCGAUCUUCUUCUCUCAAAAGAUCAACGGGCCGGGACUCGUCGGGUUCUCUAAAGGUUUGGGUUGUUGUGUAGCACAAUAUUAUGCACAUUGUGGCGUUACGGCUGUGGAUGAUUCUGAUUACGGUGCGAUGGAAGCAACUGAAGGCGGCGGCGCAAACCCUGACGCAAUCACACCGGCGUUGGGACGACAGACGUUGUCAAGCAAGGCUGAGCCUAUUGAGCUUGCUUGCUCCUUCUGGGCUUGGGAUAAGGUUCUUGAACUUUAUCUUGGGCCUGGGAAUGAGUGGGCUGGCAUUUUAGGAUUAGGUUAAAGUUUUCUAUUACAGUGUUUGUCAUGCACCGGUGGUAGGCUUGUUUUAAAUAAGUAAGUGUUUGAACUGUUGAAUGGUUAGACCUAUUCUAUGUAUCACUGUGAUCCUAUAUCGUAAACUUUUUAUCCACCCGUAGUUAGUAGUAGGAGGGUAUGUAAUAGUCUUUUCUCGCUUGAGUAUCAAUAUAACAUUGAUAUUUUUCAAAAAAAUAUGGUUGCAUGCAGGAUAUAUAGGAUAUAUAUUACAUAUGUAAAUAUCCUCCAACUUUUAUUCAUUAUUUUGUAUAUUUUUAAAAUGUAACACCACAAUGUUCCAUUGAAGCUGUCAUGCUAUCAACAAUUGAUGAAUUAAUUCUCUAAAAAAGCUUGUUAUUCUUGGAGCAGCUGUAGGAGCAAGAAUCAACAUAGCCUUGUGCAUAGCUUGUGAGAUCUACAUGACAAACAAUCAUAUCGUAAAUAACUUAGAAGCACAAUAAAAUUAUAAAUGAGAGAGAGAAUCUAAUCAAGUAGAAUUAUACCAGAAACGGAAACAUUGGCAACGGGGGUCAUAACUUUGCUCACAGAGGUCACACAAUCACGAGCACAACCAUAGGCAACGUGGCCGGAAUUAGUAGUUGGAAUAAUCCUGCAGGCAAUCAUGCAAAGGCCGACACACCCUACAUAUUCUGGAGGAACUUCUAUGGAAAGAAGGCAAGAGAUGCCACACUUUGCCGCACACGAUGAGGUUUUUGAGUUUGGAAAGACAAGAGAGUCUUGAGGAGCUGGCACUGCUGCUAAUGAAAGCACAAGCAUGCCUAGCAAUCCCACACAUCUCAACAUAGUUUUAGUAUUGGCCUCCAUUGCAAAGUUGCUCUUCUCUUUCAUUUGGUUUUUGUUUGUUGCUGGAUGAAGUGGAAGCUCAAAGCUUAAUUUAUAGGGUGGUUCUUUUGCAUUCUAUGGAAAUGUCAUCAAUUCUUAAUCAACAAUAUAUUGGAAAUAAUGUUAUAUUUAUAUUCAUCUAUCCAUAUUUAGUUUUACAUCCAUGUACAUAACGGAAAGUAAUCAUUAUAUCCAUUUAACAUCUCCAGCAGUGUUGCUAAAAAUGAAAUUUGUUAAUUUUUAAGGUAAAUUGAUGCUCCAACAGAAUGCAUAAACUAAAGUAAUAGUUAAAUUUGAUAAUUGCUAAAUGAAAUUGAUAAAUUUGUCAAUAAUCCAUUUAUAACUAAAGCAAUAGCUAAAUCUUCUCUCUCCUCUCUUGCCCACGUAUCACUUUACAAUUUGUUAUAACAUAAUAAAUAGCAGUGACUGAUGGAGCAACAUUGUUAAAUCAAUACCUAAAUUUCAAAAUUCUUACUAAAUAUAUCAAUUUCUGAAUCUCAUUGCUGGAGAUGCUCUAGUGUUAUUGAAUAUUGAUAAAUAAUUGAGACACAAAAAUAAAUCAUAAUGAAAUUUAUUGAAACAACUCGUCAACAAUCAAGGCAGUUACAUUGACUACCUUAAGGCCUUGUUUGUUUCGCAGAAAGUAGGCAUCAGGAAAGUAAAGUAGUUUGUUUCCUGCGUUUGGGAGAGCAGAAGGAAAUGAACGACAUUCCUGCAUGAAGAAAAAAUAUGGGGAAAAAUGGUUCCUUCCAAAAUCCAAAGGAACCACUUUCAUUCCUUCUUUCCCUGCAUUUAUUACUCACACCAUAAUAUUUUUUAAUAACUUUCCCGAUGGCUUUCUUUACAUACCAAAUAUUGGAAUGAAAACUUUUCUGAAAAUUUCAUUUUCGUUCACUUUCCGUUCACAUGGGAGAGAGCAAAGAACUAUUUUUCUUUUGAUGAACCAAACUUUCCGUGAACCAAACGAGGCCUAAGAUUUUGAUUGUAAGGAUGAGCUUCGUCUAUACCCAUAACACUGUCUUGCUUAUUACUUUGGUUACUAGAGUGUAUUCUCAUGGUAGUUACAUUCAGGAUUAAAUUUAGUGUGCUACCCUGAAUUUUAGGUCACUCAUUAGUUGUGUCCUUGAUCUUUUUUUUAAUCACAUUUACCCCUAUGCUAUUAAAGAGUAAUUUUAUUUACACAUCCCAAAAUACUACAUACACAUCCUUAAAUUCUAACAUUUAAAAUCAUGCUUCAUGUACAAAUGAAAAGACAAGAGAGCACAUCAUCAAUGUUAGUUCAUGUGCAAGUUUUUAGUUCUAUUAUGCAUAACUGCAUUCUUCUUUCUAAAAAAAAAAAAAACAUGUUUUCUUCUCUUUACCCACAACCCAGAACAUGUUCAUAUGCAAGUUAAACGAUCUAAAAGAAAAUAAAUAAGCAAUUCAUAAUUAUAUAUAUGAACACAAAUGAAAAUUCAAAUGUAAUGGCUAAAAUAUAUCAAAACCAAUCACUCGAAGUCCUUCCCAAUUUGGUUUUCUUUGCCCAGCAAAACAUUAAGAAUUUGGGUUACAAGCAAUUUUGAUUGAAUGGUCAAACACAUGCAAAUUGUCUAUUAGACUUUAUAAAUUGUAUCAAGGAGUACGAUAGUGUGCUAAUCUGCAAUUUCAGAUAUUCAAUUUUGUAUUCCAGUUUGAUAUAGAAGAUAGUUGAACGGGGGUAGUUUGGGAUGUUUAGAGGUGUGUUCUAGUAAAAUGAUGGUAUAGAAAAGUUAUUAGACGAUGUAUUAAGUAUGAAAUUUGUAAUAAAUAUUUAGCAAUGUGUAAAUAAAAUUUCUCGCUAUUAAAAUCCAUCAAAUUCGGAAAAAAUUUCAAAUUCCCUCUAGGCAUGAUGUAAGUAUCUGACGUGGAGGAGACAAAGAAGGGCAGAAAGGUCAUUUAAUGCUAUUUCUUUUUUUCAUUUUUUUUUUCUACUCUUUUUUCUUUUGUAGUUUGUCCUUUUUCUAACUCUUCUCUCUCUCUCUCUCUCUCUCUCUCUCUCACACACACACGAGAAAUUUUUAAAUGCUACGGGAGGACCACGUGGCAGUUUAACGUGGUUCUACGUUCCAAUCAAAUUUAGACAUGUGGAUUUUUUACAACUAAAAUAUAAACAAAUAUUUUCUAUUUUUUGUGAAAUGACAUUCAUGGGUAUUUAGCAAGUUCAAACUAGGGUCUAGGGUAUAGGGUUUAAAGUUUAGGGUUAGGGUUUAGGGUAUAGGGUUUGGGCUUUAGGGCUUAGGGUUUAGUAUUAAAAAAACAACAAAAAACCUAAAAUGGUCUUUGACAAAAUGACUGAAAUAAUUUUUCGUGAAGAAAAUCUACAUGUCUAAAUUUGAUUGAAAAGUAGGACCACGUCAGACUGCCACGUGGUCCUCCCGUAGCACUGAAAAAUUUCUCCACACACACAUCUUCGCCAAUUUUCUUUUCAUUUCACCCAUUUGUAGAAUCAAACCCUAGAAAAACUUCAAUACUUUAACACAUUCGAGCCGUGGCCUGGUUGGUUAAGGUGUUAACUAACAACUUCGAGGUCAUGAGUUCAAAUCUCAUUGACAUAUAUAAGGAGUGUAAGUUAUUUAAUAUAUAUAUAUUUUUAAAAGCUUCAAUAUUUUAACACCUUCUUCCACCAUAUCUAAUCAAACCCACCACCAAACACUCAGCAAACCCCACAAUCCCUACACUUCAGCUCUUCUUCCCUUGAAAUUUAAUCCCAAAUUCGUCGUGAAAUUCAACAGAAAAAUCCCUAAAAUGUAAUCAUCAAAAAUCUAAAACUCAACAUUAAGGAACUGAACAACUCCAUCUUCUUCUCCGAUUACCACGAGGACACCCAGCUCUGCAUCCUCUCCUUCUUGACCCCACCCGAGAUUACAAAUUCGCCUGCACCUCGAAACAGUCUGUAGGAAUGACGACGAGCUCUACUUCUCCACGUGCGACCGUUGAUAAGAAGAAGAAGAAGAGUGUGAUCAUCGACGACAAGCUCUAGCUCUAGUUCUCCAAUUUUAUGGAUUCAAAUUGGGUUUGAGAUAGAAGAGGAGAGUGUGAGAGGAAGAAGAAGAGGAGAGCGAGAGAAAGGAAAUAACUUGAGUGACCAACUAUGGUCACUCAUGGGUGACAAACACCAAUGAGAAUUAGACACGUGUUAACAAUAAGUAUAAACAAACAUGCCAAAUACCAAAAACCCCCAUGUUAUGUCAUUAAAUUGCAGCUAUACCUUUUAAAAUGGACACGUGUCCCAUGUUCAUUAGUUGUGGUCACCUUAAGAUGACCAGCCCUUGUUAUCGAAGUCGGGCUUCGAGAGAAGAGAGGAGAAGGAGGAAAAAAGAAAAGAAAGUCAAAACUGAAAAAGAAAAAAAAAUGGCAUUAUUGACAUUUAUGUCCUUUUUAGUGGGUUAAAAAUUGAACGAGGGGUCCUCUUCUCCUACAUGUCGAAUGCUUAUGUCAUGCUUAGAGAGAAUUGGAAAAUUUUCCGAUUGUGAUGGAUUUUAAGAGUAUAGGGGUAUAUGUUAUUAAAAAAUAAAAUAAAAUGACACAACUGAUAAAUGACCUAAAGUUCAGGGUAAUACACUGAAUUUAAUCCUUACAUAUAAGUUGUUAUAUGACAUCCUAACAUAGCUUGAUAUUGACGUGACCCAAUUAAUGAAAUGUUAUGUUUGUAUACUUGCACAGAUUGAAACAUUUAUAUACUAUCAACAAAAUGUACACACAUUCAUCAAAUUAUUGAUCUUGUCCAUUAAUAGUUAACUAACAAGAUUCGGUUCUCUCAACAUUACUUUGGUAGCACAACUUCCGAUGACCACGAGGCAAAACACAUAUCCCAGAAGUCCAGAACAACCACAUUGUGCCACAGACCGAUCAUUAGCCUAAACUAAACUGUUUUGAUAGACCAAUUCACUUGCAUAACUUUGUGUCAUCAGCUUCACCAUCAGUUCCUUUUCUCCUCAAGCUGUAUGUGUUACUUUGAACCUCAUUUUUGAUUAUUACACAUAUUAUGAACCAAAAGAAACUAUGACGAAUAAAAACAAACUGGUAAAUUUUGAAUAUUAUUGUUUUCUUAAUCGAAAUAUGUACAUAUUUUCAUAUACAAGAUAUAUGUUACAAUUUACACAGGUAUUUAACGGUAUUUUGUAUAUUUGUAACACCAGGAGGUUCCACUAAAGCUGAAUUGCUGCUAAUCACAACCACAAUAGAAAUGAGAAUCGAAAAGGAGAGUUUACGUAGAAAUAUAGGUACCAGUAAUGGCGGGUUCGGCAAGAGUUGUUGUGAUGUCUUUGCUCAUAGUGGUCAUGACUUUGUUCGAUCAUAGGGCUCACACAACCACGAGCACAGUCAUAGCAAAGGUCCGAAGUUGAUUGCCACUACUAGAACCACGAGCGCAUGCACAGUCAUAGCAUGCUUGAUAUGAACGAUGAAAGCAUAAGCUUGCCUAGAAAACCCACACUUCUUAAAAAAGUAUUAGCCGCCUGAUAUCAGUGAUAUGAACAUAAAAGUAUACAGGGAGGUCUUAUGUUGUGAAUUGAUCAGGAAUUUUAAUAGUAUGAGCUCCGAUAACUUUGCCGCCAACAUCAGGGAAAUUUUCAUAUCCUGGCAGAGGUUCCACCUUACCAUCAGCCCUUACCAGCAACGGAUACCUGAGAAGGUGACCCUGCAGUUCUGUGAAAUCCGGUGAUGUGUAUCUCCUCCAGUUUUCUUCAGCAAUGCCAUUCACAGUCCUCACAGUUUCCAAACUCUCUGCCUCUUUAAAGCAUGUGUCCAACAUACCAAGAUGCUCAGCCCAGAGUGACAUUCGAUACCCAUAUAUCUGCAAGAAGAUAAUAUUCAAAGUUUAUGAAUCAAUAUAAAUGUCAAACAAAUGUCGAAAAAUUCCUCGAUAUGGGGAUUCCGUGCAAGUUUCUUAGAAUUGAGGAUUUGGGGAGCAAAGGAGCAAUACGGGGCUGCAAGUCUAGAGUUCUACAGCAAGACAAGAAGUAUAGAUAUGUUCUGGAACAGCUUGUGCUCAUGGAGGAUAAGUGUAUAUACAAGUCAUUUCUCCAUAAAUGUCUUCUUUAGCCACAGAAGAGGAGAAUCAAUAAAUUAGAAGUUUGCAAAUGGCAAAAGACACUAAGUUACAUACUUGACCACAAGGAUGUCUCUGCUUCUCAGCCCAAGUGUGAUGGGGUUGAUACGCCCCCAUAGCUAUCUCAGUGUCUUUCGUACCAGCCAUUGAUCUUUGGUUAAUAUUGGCUGAUCCCAGUAUGACGUACUCGUCAUCCACUAUCAUACCCUUGGCAUGAACAUAAAUCAUAAAGCGCUGAUUCUUGUAUGACUCGCAGAUCUGAAAAAGAAAGAAAACACUUUGUUUGAAGACCAAAAACAAAGCUUUUUGGGCAGAUAACGAGUUAAAUCACAUAGAUGAAGUGGGAUUUAAAGCUGAGGGAGAUAACCAACAGCUGUAGUUAAGCAAGUCAAAUAUCACAAAGGAAGCAUUUGAGUCAUUGGCAUUCGACCCAUUUAUCAUGAUCUCAAACCUGAAAUCAUAGUGGAUGUACUGUUUGGAAGCCAAAAAUUCAUAUGAAAAAUAAAAAGAUAAAUCAUAAAAUCAGAGCAGUACAAGAGAUGAUCAUUUUGGAACAAUACCAUAGCCUCCUUGUUGUUUGAUGUUUCCUGAGGAACUUUUUCCCGUUUACCAAGGCAAUAGAAAUUGAGGAAAUCUUGAGGAUGUGAAUCUUGAAGCUGCAAGGCUUUCAGUUCUCGUGCAACAAUAUCAUACAUCAUUUGCAUUGUCUGGCUCUGUAAAUUGCAAACAUACACAACUCAGACGAAAAUUUCUACGUUGGUCCAGAAAUUAUAUGAGCAAAUAAGAGAAGCAGAAGAAUAUAACAACAAUAUCAAGUGUCCUGAAACACAUGUUACCAAAUACCUGCCAGUAGAGAAUUUCUUGCAUUGCACCAGAAUUCGGAUGACCUUCAGGCCACAUAGGUACAACUAUAUACACCGCAAAUCUCUCAUUAGCUCUGAUUUUGCUGGCAAUCUUCAGUGCCAACUCAAUUGGAAUCAGAUUGUCAGCUCCUGAUUGGACCAUGAAAGGAAGGAAUUAAGCUAGUGUUGAAUCAAACGGAGGGAUGCCAGAAAGGAUUAGAAACCAAAAGAAUGUAUAAUUUGAGAAAAGGUAAGUGCUUAGAGUCCUGAGUCAUUGAGGUCGAAUAAUGUUUAAAAACCAAUGACAGUAAACAAAAAUGCACAUGAAUAUUCUUUUAAUGAUCAUAGUCAAUUUUGGAUGAACAAAUAAGCAAAUUUAACUUACUAACAAAAAAAAAAAAAAAAAACUUAGAAUGGGUUCCUAGCUAGAAAACUAGGUUGAUAAAACCAAAGGAGAGACAAAUGUUGAUCUUGUACUCAUGCACAAAAUGACAGAUUCCAAAGAUUUUAAGUGCAGCUUUGUACAUAAAUAUAUCAUAGCUCGCUUUAAAACUUUUGCUCCCAAAAGUAUAAACAUUAUGAGUUUAGAAAGUUAUACUUCAGUGCACAGUAGAUUGUCACAUUACCUGCAUCUUUAUAAUCUGGCCAUGCAUAUGAUGAACCAAGAAAAUACUGAUUUUCAAUAUAUAUGAAAUGUUGGGCGGAUCUGAUUGCCUUGAUGUACGCUGUCUGAAUGCUUUUAUCUAUUACUAGAUCCUUUGAGCAAAUCAGGUUCUGCAGUUACAGUUAAGGAGUAUGAUCAGCUAAUCAGCUUUGAGCUUUCCUCCAGAAAUCAUCUUUCAUAAAAAAUAAAAAAAUGGGGGAGGGUGAGAGACCUGUGACGCAGCAACAAUGACAUCUUUGGGAAAUCCAUUCAGCGAUCCUGAGUCAAUAGACCGGAAAAUCUGCAAAAGAAAGAUAUAUACCCAGAUUGGAUUCAUUAAUUGUUUCUAUAGUUCUAUCAUAUAAGUAAAAGAAAAACUACACUGAGAAAAGAAGAAAAAGAAAAUUCCAUGAUUCAACCUGGACAUUCCAAUCUUCAGGAUCAUCUUCUCUCUGAACCCAUAAAGCUGGGUCUUCUUUGGGAAUAAUUGUAAAUUCCUCUGAAUCUGACAUCUCAGGACUAAGUAUCCAUGAAAUACGGCCUAUCUUAAGUAAAGAAUCAUGCCAAUGAGACACCCUUUUACAUUGUCCAAAAUCUCUAAAUCGUGUGGUUUUCCUCCAUCGUUGCUCAAAAUUUAUAAGAACAUCAUAUGCAGCAGGCCCGUCAAUUCUACAGUGCAAGUCAUGCCAUGGUUGCCUUGGAGCCUUGGUCCCAGCCGUCAAAUUCUAGAUAUCAAUGACUACAAACUAUAAGUUAUGCUAGUCCAUAGUCCAUUACUCCAUAGUUACAUUUAGUGAGAAGAAGAAAAUGAUGAAAGGGGCUAGGGGGCUAGCUAGCUAGCAGUCUAUUUGAAACAAGGAUAAUAAUAGACUGCCAAAACACCAAUUACUUACAGGAAUGGAAAUUUGAUGAAAAUCAUCUUUAAACACAGUGUCAACAUCGUGAAACAAUCUGUGCUCAUGUGUGUCAUAACGGCCAUCACAGAUAUCAAGCCCUCCUAAAAAUGCGGUUAUCUUGCGGUUAUUACCAGAUGCUUGUGUGUCCACAAUAACACAUUUUUGAUGGUGUGUAAAGACGGUUCCAACAACCUGUAGAAAUGAAUCCAUAUAAGAGUUGAAAAGCAAAUAAUUCCACUAGAGGAAAUGCAUGUUUGUUCAAUGAAGCAGAAACUAUGUCUAGCGAACCUUUAAAGAAUUUCGAAACAACAUGCAAAUGUUAAGUAGGAAUGGAGAAGAACAAGUUGCAAUUUACGACAGGAUAACAAGAUUACAAAUGGACUGGAACCUGCCUUUUGUUUUAUAAUGCUAAGCUUACUACUGCCAUAGCGAGGGGCCAGAACACAAGUGACAGAUGAAUUCUUGAAAAACUUCCGGGUUUCUUCAUCAUGCGUUCCCAUCAUUCCUGCCUGCACCAUUCCCACUUCACAUUAUGACUCAAAUUCCAUACAGCCAUAUAAAAUCCAGAACAAUCAAUUACAGACAAUACACAUUUCAAUUCAUACAAAAUUCAUAUCCCAGUGAUUGGCGUAACGAUUCCAAUAUCAGCAUUCACAAUUAAACAACAGUAACUCAGAAAAUUCAAAACCACAAUGCAUGCUAAAAUAAUCACCGAGUAGACGUCGUUGGAUGUCUUAUCAUUCCAGACCAGCAUCAACACCCGUACACCUUCUUCUGAUUUAUACUUGAGAAACUCUCCUAGCGUUAAGUCGCCGCCGCGUGGCAACGGCCGGGUCGGCUCUCUAACCAGCCUCACUUUGUGAAACACAGACCAUCCAACCACAUAUAUCAUAUGGUGAGCCUCCGAAAUCGCAUAGCAAAGAUCCUCCCAGCAAUGCUCAGGCUUAUAAACUUUUCUUCCGUCCAAUUCAAUUUGCGGCAGCAGCCCCUCCGGCACGUGCGCAUCCUGGUAGAGCCGCACGUGACUGCCUUUUCUCAGAGGAAAGUAGGUGUUGGAGACUCCCUUCCGUGCUGGAUCGCCGGCUAUGCCGUGCUUGUAGACCGGGUUUUUCUCGAAAGGAGUGAACUUCAACUCGACCUUGAUCGCGCAAGGAGGCUUCGGAGGCUUUCCAGUAGGUCCGAUAAUGUCAAACCAGCCGGAAAUCACUUCUCCGGUGGCGAUUCUCUCCGCGGAGAUGGAGGCGGUUCCAAUCAUCUGAGCGCCGAAGACGUCGUUAUCUUUCACCUGAAAUUCAAGUUUGGCCGCAGGAUGCGCGAGCGGGAUGCAAAAGGUCUCGCGCCAUUGAGGAUUCUGAGAGUUCUUAAUGACGCGCGUACGCGCCACCGUUGCCUGAGGCACGCAGACUUUGACGUAAGAGUCGCUGGUCAUGAUAUUCCGGUGGUGAGAAAUCUUGCUGUCGUCGACCGACUGCGGAGGCUUCUUGGAGCGAGAGCGAGAGCAGUUGAUGGUGUCGCAGGCGGUGAAGCAGCGGCGGAGCCGCUCGGAGAAGAGGUCCAUAUUCGGUAACCGCCUCGCCUCGAGGAUUUUGAGGUCAAGGUCGCCAUGCAGAUAGACUAUCUGCUCCGACAUCGGUUCUGCCAUGGACCGCGUCGUCGUUUGAGGUCACUCUAGGACUGAGAAAGGAGGAGAGGUUUUGGCUUUGCUCGUAACAAAUUAAGAGAAACUGUAGGGGUUUAUAAAGGCGGGGAGAUUUGAAAGUGAUUGGAAAAUUUUAAUAUAUCGUAUAGCAUGUCACAUGAAAACGUAUGGUUAUUAUUAUUGAAGAAGCAAUUAAAUGACCAUGUAAUAACUAUUUAUCUUUUUAAAAACUCUUAUGUGUCAUACAAUUAGACAUAUUUGUAAUAAAUAUGUCAUACCAUACGGAAUGAUAGACAAACUCCGAUAAACAUAUUUUUACUUUAUUCCUUUAUGUGUGACUCCAUUGGUCCAUACGGACCAUACCAUAAGCUUGUUGUCAUGUCAUUAUUCUCCUCCAUGAAAGAGCCAACUCUUGAUCGAGCAGGGGUCAUGUGUUUAGUGCAAGCGCCCGAGUGGGGUAGUUUAGUGCAAUUGCUACGGGAAACUAAAGGGACAUUAUGGGCUUGAAAUUAUUAGAUUAGCGACUGUGACGCUUAACAAGACAGCCACACUUGAAUCGCAGCUAACUUAUCCCGUACCAUGAUUCCAAUAACGAAAUCAAAUGUAGCGCACUAAGAAAGUCGGAAUGCUUAGUUGUUGGGGUUACCCGUUACCCUACCCAUAUUCUUCUUUGGGUGGUUGCCAACUUGCCAUCUCCCCUCACGAUGUGACCUCCUCAUGAGUCAUGAUAAGAGAUAAUUAUGAGGGUUGAAAUUUACACAUUUUUUUUUACGAUCCACACACCGCUUUAUUUUUAUAUAAAAACAUCUAAAAUGUUCAUAUUUUAAACAACUUGAAGAGAUUAAAACAUGAAUAGUUUAGAUAUUUUCUUAUAAAAAAUAAGACAGAGGUGUGUAGAUUGUAAAAAAAGGUGUGUAAAUUUCACUCUCCAUAAUUAUCUCAUUUAAGAGUGAAGAUAGAAUGAUGACGGGGUGUUUAUAUGUCAAGGUGUUCGUAAGCCUAUGCUCAAUGAUGACGACAUAUGAAAAGCCUGUUCAGUGGUAAUGUAAUUUUUUUAUUUUUUUUUUAAGAGUGUCAACGACGGUAUUCUCAAAUGUUUUUUAAGCCUAGAGACUAAUCCACGCCGAGAGAUUAUGUCAGAAUGUUUCCUCCCCUCUAGCCGCAAAGAAUAAAUUGAUAUUUAACUCUAAUUAACGUUAACGGGAUUCGAACCAAAGCUCUUAUGUAAUUCUUUAUUUUAAGGAUAUUUACCAACUGAUAAAAUAAAGGGAAAUUGACCACCGUGAUCACCUCCAUAGUCGAUUGCAGCUUGAAGGAUAAUAGGUCAACACGAUAUAAUAGGUCUUUGAAAGAAUCCACCCCCAAAUAACGAAACAUUGGUCAUCAAACACAUAAUGAACGAAAAGGAGAUUAAAAGAAAUUGGGUCCGGUUCAAGGACAUCACUUUUGACACAAUUUUUUACACUUCUUCAUAGCCAUCAGAUUUUAAAAUAUUUAAUGGUCUAAAUUAGGUGUUAAUACCAUGUCAACACAUAAAAAUGUGAUGUGGCAUUACAUAUUAGCAUAACAAAUUAUUUUACUUUUCUUUAUUUAAAGAACAAAAUCAAAUCCAAUUGGAAAAUCAAAAUCAAUACACAAUAAUAAAGAGAGAGAAAAAAAAAAAAGGAAUACGAACAAGAAGAUGAACGAUGCAGAAGAACAAGCAUUAGAAGCAUCAUCGAUCUCUAACUUGAAUAUCUCAUCUAUCUACUUAAAACAAGGAUACAGAUAUGUAUGAACAAAUUUAUCUGUUUUCUUUGUCAACAUAGUAUUACAGAGAUAACUAGAUUUAGGGUUUACUAACUGAAUUGAAGUUUAUGGUAUUUGAUAAAUUUAUUAUGUAGCUAAUUAAAUUUGUUCCUCAGUACCUUCGUAGUGUAUGAUUGGUUACUCUAUCAUUAUUGUUCCAUACUGUAAACGAGUUUCUACUUAAGCGUGAUACUCACGUGAGGUUCAUUCAUUUCUUGUUCUUUUUCUGAUAAAUAGUGUGUUUCUUGUGUAUCGAUCAGACUGAAAUCCAAGUUCAUGAUUAUGAAACUGCAUAUUCAUAUAUAGGUUCCUGGUGCCAGUUUGAACUUAUACUUGCAAGUAAACAACCAAUAUUUAUACAGACAAACAACACAAGUAGAAUGGCUUAUAAUUUGAACACUGAAGGUAUUAUUAAACAUACCCAAUACAAUUUCAAUGAUCAAAAAUGUUUUUUUUUUCCUCUCUUGGUGAUGGGUCAGACGAUGGGGAAGGUGAUUAAUGCUUUGGAUGUUGCUGGGUUUCAAGAAACUUAUAUAUAUGUUUUGUACGUUUAUGACGUUCUUCCUUUUUCUUUUUUCUUUGUUUUUGUUGUGUUCGAUUUGAUUUUGAUUUUCCAAGUUAGAAUUAGAAUUCGUUUUGUUCUUUUAACAAAGAAAAAUAAAAUAAUUUGUAAUGCAAAUAUGUAAUGCCACAUCACCUGUCACAUCACAUUUUUAUGUGUUGAUAUGGUAUUAACACUUAAUCUGGAUCGUUAAAUAUUUUAAAAUCUGAUGGCUACGAAGAAGUGUAAAAAAUUGUGUCAAAAAUGAUGUCUCUUGAACCGGACCCAAAGAAAUUAUGACAAGUAAAAACAAAAUGAAAUUCUGAAUGUUAUUUGUUUUAUUGAUAAAAAGUACAUAUGGUCAUCACAUAUUCAGUAUCUUGUUUAUUUGUAAGAUGUAACAUAUUAUUCAGUAAUUUGUAUAUUUGUAAGAUGUAAGACCAUGAUAUUCCGUUGAAGCUGAUAUGCAAUCAGCAGUGGAUUAAUUCUCUAAAAAAGUUGAUUAUUCUUGGAGCAGCUCUGGUAGCAAGAAUCAACAUAGCCUUCCGCGUAGCAUGUAAUAUCUGCAUAUCAAGCAAUAUUACGCUAAGUACUUUCGAAUCACAGUAAAAAUAGAAAUGAGAAAGGGAGAGUUUAAGUAGAAGAAUAGGCACCAGAAAUGGAGAGUUUGGUAAUAGCAGUGGUCAUGACUUUGCUCAUUGAGCUCACACAACUACGAGUACAACCAUAACCGACGUCGUCAGAGUUUGGCCCAAUCUUGCAGGAAGCCAUGCAAAGGCCGAAGCACGCUGCAUAUUUUAAAGGACUUACUAUGUCCAAACCGCAAGAGAUGGCACACUUUUUGCCACAAAUUAGAGUACGAAUUGUGUCCGGAAUGACAACAGACUCUUGAGGAGAUGGGGCUGCUGCUAAUGAAAGCACGAGCAUGCUUAGCAAUGCCACACAUCUUAACACAGUAUUAGUACUAGCCUCCAUUGCCAAACUCUCUUCGAUCUCUUUGGUUUUGGUUAUGCUAUAGCUAGUUUGCUCUGUUGAUGGAUGAAGUGGAAGUUAACCUCAACCCUUAAUUUAUAGGGUGCUUCUUUUGCCAUCUUUGGAAAUGCCAUCAAUUCCAUUAUCUGGUAUGAGAAUGAAAAUCUCUGAGAAUCCAUGGUGUUUCAAUCUCAUGCCUAUAUAAACUUGUUACAGGAUUUCAUUGCCAUAUGUAUCAGAAAUUACGCGAUUUUCUUCUAACAUAAGCAGUUCCUUCAGAUGUUGUUAGUAGGUGAGUAUUGAACUAUUGAUUGCCUUAAUUCUCUGUUAGCAAACAGAUUACAGAAGAGCGAAAGAAGAUAUAUCAAUUUGCAUAUGUGUACGUACGUUUCACAGUUUCCUUAUCUUUGGCCAUUGACCUGUAAAUAUGGAAUUUGCCUUGCAAAAUCAGACGGAAAAACUUCACGCUUUCAAAACUCACCUCCUCUAUCUAUUUGAAAUGUUGAUUGCCUUAAUCGUCAAAACUUAAUGCAGUGCAGCGAUGUGGAGCGAUAUCAAGUCACAUGUUUAUUUUUUAUUGUAGAUGCGUAUGCGUAUUUUGUUAUCUAUUAUUGCUUUCUCAUUUUAGAUGCGAAUGUGCAUCUUAUUAUGUUUUAUUGCUGAAUUUGAUGUGCUAGCUUGCAUCAAACUCUGUAUUUUGUAGAUUGCAUCUAAUAUAGUUUGUGGUCUUCUUUCUUAAAAUAAAAAAUUUCACAAUUGCCUAUACAAUAUAAACCACUGCAAAUCUAAAAAUUCCAGGUGGUAGAGAACUCAGGUGAUCAGUCCCGUGAGUCGGCCGCCUCAUUGCCCGCCAUUUGUUUGGAAAUUUAUUUUAUUAAUAACCAAAAGAAAAUUAAAACAAACUAUGACAAAUAAAAACAAAUAGAGGAACUUUGAAUCUUAUUGCUUUCUUGAUCAAAAUAUGUACAUAUAGUCGUCAUAUACAGACUUUACAAUUUAUUUACAUUACAUACGUAAAUCUCCUACAAUUAUUUUUCGGUGUUUUGUAAAUUUAACUUGUGACACCGGGAUGUUACACUGAAGCUUACAUGCUAUUAGCAAUUUAUGAUUUCUCUAAAAAACUUUACUAUUCUUGGAGCAGCUCAGGAAGCAAGCAUCGGUAUAGCCUUCCGCGUAGCGUUGAAGAUCUGCAUGUCAAACAAGAAAAUCCUAAAUACUUUCUAAUCACAGUCAAAAAUGAAAUGAGAAAGAGAGAGUUUGAAUAGAAGUAUAGGUACCAUUAGCGGGGGGUUGGGCAGGAGCUGGUGUGCCUGGGGGCAUUGUGAGUUUGGUAUUAGUGGUCAUGACUUUGCUCAUAGAGCUCACACAAGUUCGAGUACAGGCAUGUGUAGGGUCGACAGAAGUCGACUGCACGCUAGUAGUUGGCUUCCCGUCGGUAUCGGCAGUUGCCUGGACGUCUGCAGGUGCCGGCGGGUCCUGAAUCUUGCAGGAUGUCAUGCAAAGGCCAACGCAAGCUGCAAAUUUUGCAGGCUUGAACAAGUCCAAUGCGCAAGAAAUGGCACACUUUUUGGCACACGUUAAAGUCCGUAUUUUCGAAGCUCCAUAAAUUGGGUCUUGUGGAGCUGGGUCUGCAGGAACUGCUGGGGCUGCUGCUAAUGAAAGCACAACCAUCCCUAGAAAAGCUACGCAUCUCAACAAAGUAUAGGCCUCCAUUGCUAAUCUCUCUCUUUUUUUGUUUUGGUUUUGCUAACUAAUUUUUUUUGUUGCUAAAUAGCAUGAACUUUAUUAGAAACCUCUUUCAAUUGCCUGAUUAAUUAUUUAACUGUUCCUGUUUAUAUACAGAAAAAUGGUUUCCCAAAAUAGAAACUAAAAAUAACAAGUGAAUUUAAACCAUAAAUGAUAUAUGGUUUGAAUUUGUUAAUCAAUACAUACCUUGAACUUAAUUUGAAUGUUUUCAAACAGUUAGUUUUGAACCUCAAAUUUUUGAUAGUUUAAAGAAAUUAAAAUAUGUAGUAUGAUAUGUAUUCAGUACAUGAUCCGUAACAACAGGAUCAUUGAACGUAAAAUCAGUAUUUCCUUGCAGGAUUUCCUUGCCAAAUAAAGUAAUUUUAAUAGUUGCAGGAUUUUCUGGGUGCUAAGAGAAACUUUCAGCCUCACAUAUCAAAAGGAACCCAAUGAAAAGUGCAGUGAAUUAUAAGGAGCUUCAUUGUUAGCUUCCUUAUCAUCUAAUAUUCAUAUCCAUGCCUCUAUUUCCUUGAUUUCCUUAGCAUAUAUAGCUUGACUCAACAUGAACAUAUAUCGAAUGUAAUUCAAAAUUAGCUAAUAAUUAAGAAAGGAGAGCCAAUCGUUGCAGAAAGUUUAUGCAUUUAUGUAAUUAUAUAUUUCACCAACUCAAGAGGCAUAUAUGCAGUAUAUACUAUAUAGCAGUGAUAUGCUUCUUUUAUUACGGGUUAACUUUACGUAGGAAUUGAAGGCACAAUGCUUGAAUGGUCUGAGUGCUCGAAAUAGUGAUUGAAUAUGGAGUCGUCACAAACAAAAAGAACAACAUAAUUUUGCCAGACUGAUCAUGUUUGUUAUAUUUGAGGGGGAACCAGGGUAGAGAGUUGGUGGGGCUCAAGCCCAACCAAAGUUCUGAAAUAAAAUCUGCAGUAUGUUAUCUACUAGCAAAACAGGUGACGAUGCAGUUUUGGUUUAGGAUAUUUACUAAUUCGAGACCAUCCGGGUUCGAGUCACGGCUGCGUCGGUAUUUUUUUGCUGUACAGUUUUACACCUUAUUUUUCUUACUUCUGUAAAAUUGUUUGUUCCUUAAUUCUCGAAGGCAUUCUGGCUUCAAACUAGACAAUGGGUCUUCUUUUUGUGCGGCUUUGAAUCAAUUAAGUCAUUAGGGCCUCAAUUCUUUAGAUAAUAGCAUUUUUUGGUUGAUGUGAGGAUAUGUUUUUAUAACUCUUGCGAGUCGUUAUUAAUGAUAUCUUCAAUUUCUUUCUAUUUGUGUCGAUACAAAAAGAAAAUUGUGUUUUCUCAACCCUUCUUGUUUUAUUAAUAUAAACGGUGCAAAUAAAUUUUCUUUCUAAUAAUCAAUUAAAAUGGUAGUUUUAGAUACCUAAUAUAUUUUUGCAUAAUACUCGUAUUGCUAGGGAGAAAAGAAUUUCAAUCCCACCCUUGUUCUCAAUCCUGGAUUCGCCACUGGGGAAACCGAUUAUCUAUACCUUCCUCACUACUUAAGCUAACAUGGACUCGAGCACAACCAUGUUUGGUUAUUAAUUGACUGCAUGUAAUCCUCAUUUCUUCUUGAUUUGUAUAGAAGCACAAUAGGCUAGCUAGCUAGCUAGCUGCAUUCUUUUGUAAUUGAAUUUGUUAUGUCGUUCUCUAUUUAGUAUUUACACAAUAAGCUCGUGUAAAGUGACCCUUUUCGUGUUCCUUUUGCCGCUUUAAGUUUAGGACUUCAGGUACAUGUAUCCAAUAUAAUUCACAGUAAAAAAGAAGGGAAUGGUUGUUGUUGUCCAUAUUGUCGUCUAAUUCAUACAUGAAAUUAUGUGUUUCUUUUAAGUGUACGUUCAACUUGAAGAGACUGUUUGAUCUGAUCCAAGACUAGCCAUGGCCUAUACAUAUUACACCACUAAAAAUCUCUGAUUACUUGUGACUGAAAUCAGAGCCAGACCUGAGGUUAGCCUCAUGAUCAUGAGUCGGCCUCCUGCCGCCAUCGAUCUAUGCAGGAAUUCCCUUUUUUGAGUGUUUAUAAAAUUAAGCAAUAUAUGUACCAAAAAAUAGCCACAAAAUAGUUUGUUAGGGCUGAGCUAUUUAAUUCAAGAACUUAUUCGUUGGCAAAAAUGCUGCUCAAUCGAUUACAGCCUAAUUCUUUAUUCGAAGCAAAUUGCCAAAGUGAAAAAAUUAAAAUAAAGGAUGACAGUGUUAUAUAUCCAAAUCGACCAUGAACCAAAAGAAAAGUGGGAAAUCGUAAGUUCGACUCACAAUAGACUAUUUGUUGUAUUCGAGUUCGUUAAAGAAGAUAUGUGACUAAAACAACUCAUGAGUUCUAACAAAUUGGGAAAAUUCGUAAUUGAUUUGUUGAUUGAACCAACUCAACCAAGCAUGUAUGGUUAUAUACAGGAUAUACAUUACAUAUGCAAAUCUCCUAUGUACAUUAUUUAUUCAGUAUUUUGUAUACUCGUAACACCAGGAUGUCCACUGAAGCUAAACUGUAGCAGUUGAUCGAUGAAUCCUCUAAAAAAGUUUAUUAUCCUUGGAGCAACCCAGGUAGCAAGAAUCAACAUAGCCUUCUGCGUAGCGUUUCAGGUCUGCAAUGUCAAACAAUAAAAUCAUAAAUACAUGGAAUCAUAGCCAAAAUGGAAAUGAGAAAGAGAGAGUUUUAUAGCUACCAGAAGCUGGGGGUUUGGCAGGAGUACUGGCUGUGUCUUGUCCCAUUGUGAGUUUGGCAUUGGUGGUCAUGACCUUGCUCAUAGCGUUGGCACAAUUUUGAGUACAGUCAAAAAGGCCGGAACUUGGCUGCCCGCCCGCUGGAGUUGGCUGAUCGCCUGCGGCAGUUGGCUUUACGUCAGCAGUUUGCUGCCCCGCGCCGCCAGGAGGUAGCUUACCAAUCUUGCAGGCAGCCAUGCAAAGGCCGAAGCAGCCUGUAUAUGCUACAGGACUGAAUAAGCUCAUAGAGCAAUCCAAGGCACACCUUUUGGCACAUUUUAGAGCUUGCACGUCCAAAUGCAGUUUGAAUUUAGACUCUUGAAAAGGGUCUUGAGGAGGAGGUACUGGGGAUGCUGCUAAUGAAAGCACAAACAUGCAUAGGAAAGCCACACAUCUCAACACAGUUUUUGGGUUAGCCUCCAUUGCUGUAAGCUCUUCUCUCCUUUUCUUGGUUUUGGUUAUGUUAAAUAGUUUCGUUUCUUGGUAACUAACACGAAAUUUUAGUAGAAAUCGCUUUCGAUUGAUUGAUUAAUCCAUUCAAGUAUUUCGGUUUAUAUACAAAGAUGGUUUCCUGAAAUAAAAGAAUAGAAAAAAUAACAAGUGAAUUUAAACCAUGAAUGAGAAAUGGUUUAAAUUCUUUGAUCGAUGUAGACCUUGAACUUUGAACCUACGGUUUCAAAUCGUUAGUUAUGAACCUCAGAGUUUCAAUGGUUUAAAGUAAUUAUAUAAAUAAAAAAUGAUCUGUACAAUAUACUAUCACCUGGAUCACUGGAUGAACGUACUGGAGAUUAGCCUCAUGCCUAAAAUUAUAUUACAUCUAUGGAAAUGCCAUCAUUUUCCAUUGUUUGGUAUGAGGAUGGAAGUCAGUAGGUGAAUAUUCAAUUGCUUUAUGUAUUUGCAAACAGAAGAGCAAAAGAUAGAACCUCAAAUUGCCUAUAUGUUUCAUAAUUGCCGUAUCUUGGCCAUUGACCUAUAAAUGUGAACCUUUCCUCGCAAAGUUGGAGCGCACAACUUUCACAGAAUCACAGAACUACACUUGGUUUUUUGCAGGGUGCAAAGAAAAACAUUUCAGCCUCAUUGGAACGAAUCCAAUGAGCAUCUUUAGUUGAUGAACAUUUACUUUGGAUGUCAAAUAUAGUUCAUACAUAUUUCACUAGUGUGGAGCAUUGACAACCAUUUCGGUUGUUUGUGGCAUCCUAUGAGCUUCCUUAUCAUCCAGUAUUCAUAACCAUACCUCUAUUUAUUUAUUUUCUUUCAUUUCCUUAGCAAAACAGAAACAGAAUAUGAACAGAUAUUGGAUGCAAUGCAAAUUUGUUUGUAAAACUUUAAGAGGAAGUUUUAAGAAAUCCAGUCAGAACAGAAAGUUUAUGGAUUUAUUUAUAUUUUACAACUGAAGAGGAAUAGGGGGAGACAUGCCUCUUCUUUUCCACAGCAUACUUACUUCUUUCUUAUUCUUCUCAUCCUCAUCCUCAUCGUUUUCUUCUUCUUCCUCGCCUACCCCAAUUUUCAAGUUGUCUAAACGAUGAGGUUCAUCAUCAACCUCUGUUAAAUCGAAGUCCGACAAGACACCACGGCGGCUCUCAAACCUCUUCAUAUGGCCCAACGAAGGCACUCUUUCCGCUGCACGACUAGUUCUAGAUAAUGAGCUUGUAGCAACCGAACCAUCAUCCUUUGUCUUACCUUGGUUCAUGAGCAACUUUGGGAUGACAUUUGAGACCCUGAAAGUCUUCUCUUUGGGAACACAAAGAGCUAGACUAGUGCUCUCUUCUGGUGGUGGAGGGCAGACCUGCUUAGGCUUUGGUUUGCUCUUCUUCUUCUUCUUCUUCUUGUUCUUGCCUUUGACUUGGCCCAUGCAAGAAACCUUUGGGGAGGUAGGUUCUUUCGAAGCAAAACUACUGGAUCCAUUCCUAGGCUUUCUCCUAGCCUCUCUCGGAAUGAUCGAUACAAUAGGAUGCCGGGGACUUGCAGGCGGGCUUUUGUAGGUGACUGCAGGAGCCGCAGCUUGUGAAAGAAACUUUAAGAUCUGCAUCCUUAACUUCGACUGCUUCUCCAUUCUUUAGCGUCAAGUUUCGGCUCAGCUCAAUUGUUCUUCCUCUUGUAAUCCAUUUGCCGGUCGCGUACAUAUAAUAAGUACUGAGAUUUUUCAGUAACUUCGGGCUUACCGGAAGAAUGAGAUUGUUGACAUUGUCACAUACAUACGAUGAGGGUUGAGUUUUGGCACUUUGGAAGUGGUCUAGUGAUAGCUCUAUAUGCCAAAGCCGGCUUUUGAAUAAAAGAAAUGUUUUCUGAAAAUAACCACGUGAGCCGGCAGGCAGCAAUGCAAAAAUUCAACAACGUUUACAAUAAUUUGGAUUUCAUGCAAUUCUCACUAAAAUGUCAACGAUAGCUACAGAUUAACAAUAAACUCUUGUUGACGAUCAAGAGCCAACCUAAUCCAUUUCAUUACAAGUGGUGCACUUGCGUGCAAUGAUCUAGUAUUGUACUCUUACAUAGGAUAAGGCAAACAAUUGGGAGAGUUACAAAACUAGAGAUCCGUGAUAAGUUAUUUUCCCAUGUUUGGAGAAAUCCAUUUUCGUUACACCAAACAAAUAAUACAUUACUGAACACAGAAAAAACUUUGGCGACAAAGAGCUGCAACGCAUCAAAAUUUUAGGCUGCUCUAGAGUCCUGCCAACCCUCACUCCUUCCCCGCUAUAGGCCCAGACUGAAUAUGUGAACAAUAAAAGCUGUGUCAAUACCAGAAAUUUAUCCAUAUAGAGCAAUAUAACUUAAAUGCUGGUCAUUCUCCGGAUAAGAGGCCCCAUUUUUAUUUCUGUUUUUUCCUCACGGCAGCCUUAGAGUUGUUAUCGUCCUUUGUCUACUAACCACAAAGCAUGCACUUACUUUUCCCAGAUCAAAUGCACAAGAAAGUAUCUGGAUGCAUCAAUAGUGCAAAUACUAGAGCUUGAAGAAAAAGACCUUCUCAUUCUCCAGAUUCAGAAAGGUUUAUUGCCUUAGCGAGUGCUUCUGUCAUCCUUGACAUCCUUUUCGCUUGUUUGCGGGGUGUACUGGCUAGUGGAUGAUGGGGAGUACCCUGGCUGACUCGGUGAGUACCCAGCACUUGGACUGCAAGGAAGGUAGAAGUAAAAGAAGAAAUAGAAUGAGCACCCCACCACAAUUCAGAAAAUUGAUGAAUCAGUAUUCAGAACAACUCAUAUGUUUUUACCUGUAUUGUGGAGAACUUGGGCUGUAAUCAGGGCUCACUCCAGAGGUAUAUGGGCUGAACAAGACAGUUUCAACAUCUUUCAACACACCAUCCAAACAUAAAGGUAAACAAUACACUCCAUUAUACAAAAGAGCACACUAAGAUUACCUGCCAGGAGUGUAUGAGGGGCUAGAAGGAGAAUAUGAUGGUGAUGUGGGUGAAUACGAUGGUGAUGUGGGGCUGCGACAAAAGAUUGAAAAGUUAAGCACAUAAUAAUUAUAAUGAAUUGGAAAGCUUAGAUGCAGAAAGACCAGUCAUCAAUCGACUAAGAAAAAAUUCAACUCAUCAAUACUUCGCAUUCUUUGAGAUGCCACAAAUGAACCCGACGGAAGUGUGCAAGAAGCUCACCUGUAAUUUGGAGAGGUAGGACUAUAUGGGCUAGCUGGUGACAAUCUUGGACUGCUCGGAGAGUAGGCUACCGAUGGGCUAUAUUUUGCAGAAGGAGGAUUAUAACUCGGAGAGGUAGGGCUAUAACUAGGAGAAGUUGGACUAUAACUCGGGGAAGUAGGGCUGUAACCCGGUGAAGUUGGGCUGUAGGCAGGUGAAGUUGGGCUGUAGGAUGGGGAUGUGGGGCUGUAGGAGGGGGAUGUGGGGCUGUAUGAAGGAGAUGUUGGGCUGUAGGAGGGGGAAGUGGGGCUGUAUGAAGGAGAUGUUGGGCUGUAUGAUGGUGAAGUUGGACUGUAUGCAGGGGAAGUGGGGCUGUACGCAGGGGAAGUGGGACUGUAAGCGGGGGAAGUCGGGCUGUAGCUUGGAGAGGUCGGGCUGUAGCUUGGAGAAGUCGGGCUGUAGCUUGGAGAGGUCGGACUGUAGCUUGGAGAGGUAGGUGAGUAAGAGGGGCUCGUAGGAGAAUAUGCUGGACUGGUUGGACUAUAACCUGGAGAGCUUGGACUAUAGGUUGGAGAAGUGGGACUAUAACCAGGGGAGGUGGGGCUGUAACCCGGCGAGGUGGGACUAUAACCAGGGGACGUGGGACUGUAUCCAGGGGAGGACGGACUGUAUCCAGGGGAGGAUGGGCUGUAACCCGGAGAUGAAGCAGGAGAGAAUGCCAUUCCACCGACAUAGGGAGAAAACUGAGCAUCUGAGAUGGGAGACAUUCGCAUAUUCGGGCUCAGCAAAUAAUUAGGUGACAUCAUUCCAUCACGGAAGGGAGUUCCCG